This 80292-nucleotide long non-coding RNA is filed under the name Prunus persica (peach). RNAcentral's name for it is "long non-coding RNA (PPER_LNC008258)". The record is from RNAcentral. Lineage: Eukaryota; Viridiplantae; Streptophyta; Magnoliopsida; Rosales; Rosaceae.
AACCAUAAGACUAGAAAGGAUGAGGAUUUGAAAUAUAUUGUAUUACUCCCACAUGCUCCUGGAGAACAACAAAGAAGUUUACACAUGUUUAAAAGACAGAAUUUGACUGCCUUUGGGUGGGGGGAUGAUAUUUGGACCAAUGGUUCUAGGGAGUUCAUGAUAUCAUCACUUGUCUGCUUCAUAAAUUUAUAUGUUUCUGCUCAUGAAGCAGCUUCAGGAUUUGAGAAGGUUUGCUUUCACCACAAGAUGUGAGUUGAUUCCGUGGAUUAUCAGUGGUAGCCUCUUCUUCAUCCCAACUCAGUGAGUUCUGCAAUGAGGAUGCUUUGGAUAUGAUCAUAUCUAAAUUCUUUUAUCUUGGCUCGGUAAGCUGGGAAAUGAGGAUGGUUCGGAUGGCUUGGAUGACUGAUUCAUGUACACUCACACACUUAAGUGGGAAGUGAGAUAAAGGAAGGCGUUUUCACUGCAGGGGAUUGUGAUACCUCCCAUGGAAUGAUCAUAUCCGAAUUCUUCUUCAGCUUGACUCAACAAAUCCAGGAAUAAAGGCUCAUUCAAAUAUGAUAUUGGAAUCACAAAUCGCUUCUUCUGGCUCUCCCCAACAUAGACUGCAAAGUAGCCUUUUGGGAUAUCUAAGGUCUUUGAAUCUGCUGUCUGGCUUGAACUAGAUAGAGAUCGAAUGAGACUUCUCUUUGCAUUAACAAUUGCAGGCAACCGGAAACCCAUGGUCUUAUACAUGCUCAAAGUACAAAAGAAGAAGAAAGGAAUUCAAAGGACCUGAAUUUGGAAAGCAGAGAAAGCUAUGCUUGAGAAGGUGAAGACUUGAGUUGCUCAUGAUGAACUUGGUCAUGUGUAUAUAUAGAUCAAGAGUAUCCAGAAAAUCAACAGCUACAUGAAACAAUUGGUGAAGAGGCACUGAGAUGGGCUCCAAUGAGGGACACUUGAUUGUGAGAAAUCACAUGGGUUUGUCGUCCGUCUAACGCAAUUUGUCCCCAAAAGAUUUCUCCCGGAACUCUUCCUUACCUGCUCUAGGUAACAGACAACAAAAGGACCACCAGAGAUGAUUCAAUCCAAAAGAAUUAUGUCUGUUAGGUAAGUAGCAUUUAUGCUUGAGACAUGCACUUCUCUUUGUUCACACUAAUUCAACUGACCACAUAAUCGGACUAGUUUACUACAAAUUUUCUUGAUUAGGUCUGCUAAUGAAUUGCCCUCUCACUUCAUCAAAAGACCAACAACACUGCAUAUGUCGUGGUCCUACCCAACACUGAUACAAUUGUGUUGUGUGGGAGCAGCAAUGCACCCUAUCAUGUGGCUUUGUAGUUUCGUCUCUGAUCUUCAGUCUCAGCAAACAAAGGAGGUAUUUAUUUCAUUUUGUUAGGCCAAUCCGGACUUAACCAGAAAACAGUAUUCAUUUAAAUAGUUGACAGUAAUUGAUCAAGAAAACUGAAGUUAAUAAAUUGAACUUAAGGUACUCUUUCUAUACUCAAUUUUUAAAAAACCAUUUUCCAUUGCCAGUCUUGUUUAGGCAAGUUCGGCCAAGAGCCUACUAAAAAACCAUUUUCCAUUGCUAGGUUGAUAAUUAAUCUCUUCUUGCCUUUGCUUAUGGCAACAAUUGAAGAUAUCUUAGAGGAUUAAUAUUUAUCAUACAUCUAUUCUUUUUUAUGAAAGACACGAUCGAGCUAGUAUCAUACACCUAUUCUUUGUGACAUACAUAAAUAUGGAGUAAAUCAAGAAAAUAGUCGUGUAUUAUUUGUGAUCCGAUGUAAACUUGGCUUUCACUCACUAGUGCAGGGAAUUCUUGCACAUAUAUUGUGCAAUUUUUUAACCAAAGAACCUUAGUGGCUCGGCUCAGUGCCUCGUUCUAUUCCCUCGUGAUGACUCUCCUUCUCAUUAUUCUUUCAGGGUAAAGAUUCCCAAUAGAACUGAUAAUAUUUUAUUUUGGAAGGAAUGUUAAAAAGUGGUGUACUUCAAGUUCAUGGUUCCAUUUGGCAUGAGGCACCGUGGAUAUAGGAAGUACUAAGUAAACCAUUAUACUUUCUUUUUUAUAGUAAACCAUUGAUGAUUUUAUUUUAUGACAGAGCUACAAGUAUAAUGAAAAAUAAGACAAGAAAGUGGAUCGGGAUUUAAAUUUACAUACAAGAAAGUCAUAGCAUCCAACCCAAAUAUGGAGAGGACCAACAUCUUUUAUACUACAAUGCUCCGAAUGUACUCUCAAUGAUUUCAAAAUUUCGAUCAUGAUUUUGGACUAAAGUUUUUCAACGUCCAUAGUGUCUUCGUUUGUCGGAUUCAUGAACUUUUUAACUUUAUGCUCAGAUCACAAGCAGCCUCAGGCUUACAGAUUGCUUCCUCUCAGCACAAGAUGUAAGUCGACUCAGUGGACGAUCAAGAAUAGCCCCGUUCUCAUCAUUACUUAGUGAGUUCUGAAAUGAGGAUGCUUAUACAUGAAUGAAUUUGGAUCAUAGUUUCUUUUCUUUAGUGUUCACUCAUACACUUAAGCGGGAAGUGAGAUGAAGGAAGGUGUCUUCACUGCAGGGGAUUGUGAUACCACCCAUGGGAUGAUCAUAUCCAAAUUCUUCUUCAGCUUGACUCAGCAAAUCCAGGAACAAAGGCUCAUUCAAGUAAGAUAUUGGAAUCAAAAACUGCGUCUUUUGGCUCCCCCCAACAUAGACUGCAAAAUAGCCUUUUGGGAUAUCUAAGGUCUUUGAAUCAGCUGUCUGACUUGAACUAGAUAGAGAUCGAAUGAGACUUCUCUUGGCGUUAACAAUUCCGGGCAACCGGAAACCCAUGAUUUAGUAUUCUCAAAAGGACAACCGGAUUAUAUUGAAGCUUGGUAUACUAUCUUUCUUCACCAAUCUGAAGAUUUUAGUCAUUCCUGGUUUAUUAAUUUUGAUAAUAAGUUCAAAAGCCCAUUCCCCUACUGGUUUCUUCACUGGUGGGAAAAAUAUGGUCCAGUUGAUGAAAUUCUUCCAGUAUCAGUUCUUGAGUUGAUCCGCCAUUUUACUAAAAGAGCCAAGUUUUCCCUAGUUGAUUUAUUCUUUCCCAAACAGUUGCUGUUUAUUGCCAGAUACAAGGUACCUUGGAUCCUUAAAUGGUCCUAUGCCAUCACCAAGGACACCCGUGUAUUUGCCCGCCAAUUCUCAAUCAAAUGAGUCAAGAAAUGAUGGAGUUCUGUAAGAAAGAAAUUGAAGAGUUGCUUAAUCUUGAGUCAAUCAAAAAGCACAAGACUGAUGGAAACAAUUUCCUGCAUAUUGGUCUUGUUCAAGUCGCCGUUAAGCCCCUAACCAGGUUAGGUUUGAAAGCCUCCAUACUGCUCUGUUUACGCGAUGCCCGGUUCACCGCGUUCAGUGACAGUACGCUAGGAGUUAUUGAGUCCAGUUUGUGUAACGGUCCAGUUCAUUUUGAUUGUUACCCAGACUUCACUGUAAGCCUUAGUGAUCCACAUAUAUUGAGAACCCUAACUCUCAAUAUUAAGACUGAAGGUUAUAAUGUCCUCCCAGGAACCCAACCUUUAGCAUUAGUUUACAGAAUUUACUAUAAGGUCACAGGAACCAAUAUGAACUUCCAGGCCUUAAACAAAAGCCCAAAGGAUCAGACAGUCCUGAUCCAGAGUCACACCUCAGACGCCCAUAUUCAAGUUCCCCAGACCAUUAAAUGGUCAGAAGUUGCCCUUCCAACAGAUUGGACCUUAGUUACCGAGAGCCAACCAGCUCCGAUUCAACGUAGUCUAAACAAUUUAGACUACAUCCAGCAGUACUUAGAUGGCACGGUUAAGAUUAGAUUCGAUAGCCAGCCUCUACAUAAGUCUAAAGUCCAGUUACACCAGUUACCAACCCCAGGUCAGUCACAAAGGCAUGCCCCAGCUAGGCACUCCUUUACUGCCUCAUCCUCAACUCUAGAACGAGACCUAGAGUUAGAAAAAACCAUGAUAGAUUUAAAGCUUGAGUCCCUGAGAAGAUCCUCUCAGGUAACCCAACCCUGCUACGGCACGGUUCCAGUAGAAGAAAAGUCAGAAUCCCCUGAGUCACCUACCCAGUCUGACUUCAUAGUUGAAAACCAGUUAAGAACCCUUAAUAGAAAAUUUAAAAUUGAUUGGUCACGUCUAAACAAACAUCUCAAAGCCCCUGAGAACCUGUCUAGACGAGAUAGUUAUCACCAAGCCUUUCCUGAUAGUAGCCGCCGCUUAGAAAUCUUUAGUGAAUGGAAAGAUUACAUGCGGUCAGCCCAAGUUGAAAUUUUCUACCUUGAUUUUGUUGAAAGCCGUUAUAUGUCAAAUGAUGAGUUAAAAACCUUAACUCAGCAAAAAUGGAAAAUGGCAGAUAAGUCUGUCGUUGAGUCUAGCCAUCCUCCAGUAGAAACCAUAAUUAUUGAGCAUAAAGAUACUCUUAUUCCUGCUACUCCUUUCAAAACAUUUGAAAGCAGUGACAGUAAUAGAAGAAUUCUUGAGCAAAAUAAUUAUACCAACCAGAGUCUAAUUGUUAUAGGAAAACAGUUGGAUACAAUUGAAACUAAAAUUGAUAAGAUAGGUUCUACAGACGUAGAGUCUAAAAAGAAAAUUGAAAAACCAAUUGUCCAGUUCCAGGAUCUUAGGUCUAGCCCGACCCUUAAGAUCACACCUACAAUAAAGAAAAUAGAAGACAUGUUAGCCCAGUUGACCCCUGCCAAAGUUGAAAAAACUGAGAAAUCUGGUCUUAAAACACUGGAUGCCUUUGCAGUAGAAAAUACCUCUGAGUCUGAGUCUUCAGAAGUAAGCAAUAUUUCUAAAAUUGAAAAAGCCUUUCAAACUUUAGAAAUCCAAGUUGAACCCAAAGUUAAGAAAUUAGAAAAGUUUGUCAGCCCCAGUAGUCUGACCAAAAAUUGGUAUCCCAGACCAACACCUCCUGACAUUCAAUUUGAAGAAAGAAACCUGCAGACCCAGUUCUCUGUUUCUUCCGACAAAUUGUAUGAAUGGAAUAUUGAUGGUCUCUCUGAGCAAGAGAUCCUCAAUAAGUUACAACAUAUGUCCAUGGUUGCCAAUAGUUAUAUCACCAAUCACAGUUUCAGACAGUCUGAAAUUGUCCCUCUGUUAGUCACAGGUUUCACCGGUACUCUCAGAAGUUGGUGGGAUAAACACCUGAGUCCUGAGUCUAAAAGCCGUAUAACCUUUGCUGUAAAACUGAAUGAUGACGGUCACCCUAUCUUUGACGAACGAAUAGGUCAAGGUAUAGAAGACGGUGUCAACACCCUGUUUUACACCAUAAUCGAUCACUUCAUAGGAACCCCUAGUAAUCAAACUGCUAGGAUCCAUGACCAGUUAAGUAAUCUUAGAUGCCCAAAGUUGUCCGAUUUCAGAUGGUAUAAGGAUGUCUUCAUCUCUAGAGUCAUGCUUAGAGACGAUAGUAACCAACCAUUCUGGAAAGAGAAAUUUGUUAAUGGUUUGCCAAACCUAUUUGCCCAUAAGAUCAGAACUACCCUCAGUAAUGAAUUAGGUCAUAUUGAUUGGGAUAGUUUAACUUAUGGUAACAUUGUAAGCACAAUUAAUCAAGUUGGCAUGAAAAUGUGUGUUGAUUACAAAAUCGGAAAACAAAUACAGUCCGAUAGGAAAUCAGCCAAAUAUGAGUUAGGAAACUUCUGUGAACAAUACGGUCUCAGUAGCAUUCCGCCCUCUAGAAGAAAUAAGUCUAAGCCAAGUCACCUUAGGAAACGUCGGUUUUCCUCUAAAAGAAAACAUUUUGCAGUUAAAAGUGAUAAUGAGUUUUAUAAGAAAAGAAAAAGUUUUAAAAGAAAAAAUUGGUCUAAAGCCCCCAGAAAAGCCCAGAAGAGUCGACCCAAAACCGAUAAGUCCAAAGUUAAAUGUUUUAAAUGUCAAAAAUUUGGUCAUUAUGCCUCUGAGUGUAAAGUUAAAGAUGCCAUUAAGCAGUUGCAGAUCUCAGAAGCUGAAAGAGAAAAGUUGAUCCAAGUUUUAGAGUUGCGAGACUCUGAAACUAGCAGUCCCGAAACCUUAGUUGCCAGCUCUGGAUAUGAUUCUGAACAAGCUUCAGAUUCCCAGCCUAGUUCCCCUGAUGUCCAAUUUGGUUGCACCGAUAAGUGUUGUAAUAGAUUAAAAUCUAUUUUUGUUCUUACCAAACAGGAAGAACAAGAAGAGUUGUUAAUCGACUUAAUCAGCCGAGUAGAAAACCCUGAGUUAAAGUCCGAUUAUUUGAAAAAAUUGCGAAAAGUCAUUAGUCAAGAAAGCUCUAGUAGUCCUAAACCGCAGCCAGUCAGUUUAGCCACUACUAUAGAAAAGUUCGCUCAGAAAAAGAAAGAAGUUACCUUACAAGACCUCCAGUUAGAAGUCAAAUUAGUCAAACAAGAAUUAGCCGAGUUAAGACAGAUUAGUAACCAGUUGCAGGUUGAAAACCAUACAAUCAGGCAAGACUUAACAAGUCUUCAAAAAGGCAAAAUGCCUUUAGAGCCCAGUAACCAGUCAGACAGCCCUGCUGGUUCUGACGAAGAAACCCCAGUUGUCAACCUAAUCAAACAAGUCAAUUUCCGAAAAUGGUAUUCGAAAGUUACAAUAGUUGUCAAAGAUUUUGAGUUUACCACAGUUGCCUUAUUUGAUUCAGGAGCCGACCUUAACUGUAUUCAGGAAGGUCUAAUUCCUACUAAGUACUACCAGAAGUCUAGAGAAACCCUAAGCACUGCUUCAGGAAAAUCUCUUCAGCUGAAUUAUGAGUUGCCUAAAGCCCAUAUUUGCCAAAACAGAGUUUGUUUUAAAACUUCGUUUGUUUUAGUUAAAAAUAUUACUGAUGAGGUUAUCUUAGGAUUACCCUUCAUAAGUCUGCUUUAUCCCUUCCAGGUAGAAUACGACGGUGUCAUUUCUACCCAAUUAGGUGAGAAAGUUAAGUUUAGUUUCCUUUCUAAACCUGAGUUGCAUAAUCUGAAAGCCUUACAGAAACAGUCUGUCUCUAGGUCCCUUCAGGUUGUCCAAAAAACUAACCAGUUGAAAUUUCUUAAGGAAGAAAUUAAGUUUAAGAGAGUUGAACAACAACUUGCCAGUCAGUCCUUACAGUUGCAAAUUCAAAAAUUUGAACAAAGAUUAAAAGAAGAAAUUUGUUCUGAGUUGCCCACAGCCUUUUGGUAUAGGAAGCAGCAUGUCGUCCGUCUUCCCUACAUCAAAACCUUUAGUGAGAAAAAUAUCCCCACUAAAGCCAGGCCAAUCCAAAUGAGUCAAGAAAUGAUGGAGUUCUGUAAGAAAGAAAUUGAAGAGUUGCUUCAAAAGAAAAUAAUUCGCAAGAGUAAGUCCCCCUGGUCAUGUCCUGCUUUUUAUGUCCAGAAAAAUGCUGAACUAGAAAGAGGUGUUCCCAGAUUAGUUAUCAAUUAUAAGCCCCUUAAUGCGGUCCUAGAAUGGAUUAGGUAUCCCAUACCUAAUAAAAGAGAUCUCAUUAAUCGGUUAGAAAAAGCAGUUGUCUAUUCUAAGUUUGAUUUGAAAAGUGGUUUCUGGCAAAUCCAAAUAGAUGAGUCAGACAGAUAUAAGACUGCAUUUGUCACUCCCUUUGGUCAUUACGAGUGGAAUGUAAUGCCCUUUGGUUUGAAAAAUGCUCCUAGUGAAUUCCAGAAUAUCAUGAAUGAUAUAUUCAAUCCUUACAGUCAGUUUUCGAUUGUUUAUAUUGAUGAUGUUCUAAUCUUUUCUGAGUCAAUAGAACAACAUUGGAAACAUUUGCAUAAGUUCCUUCAAGUUGUCAAACAAAAUGGUUUAGUUGUUUCUGCCAAAAAGAUCAAGUUGUUUCAAACCAAUAUUCGUUUUCUUGGUUUCAAUAUUUGUCAGUCGCAAAUCUCCCCAAUUGAUCGAGUUAUCCAGUUUGCUGAUAAGUUCCCUGAUCAAAUUCUUGAUAAGAGUCAACUUCAGAGGUUUUUAGGAUCCCUAAAUUAUAUCUCUGACUUCUAUCAGAAUCUGAGAAAACAGUGUAAGCCCCUAUUUGAUAGGUUGCAGAGUAAUCCUCCUCCUUGGUCGUCUACUCACACUGAAGUUGUUAAACAGAUUAAAUCCCAUGUCAAGACACUUCCCUGUCUUGGUAUUCCUUCAGUUGAUUCAUUCAAAAUAGUUGAAACCGAUGCCUCUGACAUAGGUUAUGGUGGCAUUCUUAAGCAAAAAGUCAGUCCUAGUUCUCCAGAACAAAUUGUUCGAUUCCAUUCUGGAACCUGGACUCAGUCGCAGCAUAAUUACAGUACUAUUAAAAAAGAAAUUUUAGCUAUUGUAUUAUGCAUUAGUAAAUUUCAAGAUGAUUUGCUUAAUCAAAAGUUUUUAAUCCGAGUUGAUUGUAUGUCUGCAAAACAUGUUUUAGAAAAAGAUGUUCAAAACAUUGCAUCUAAACAGAUUUUUGCACGAUGGCAAAGUAUAUUAAGUAUAUUUGAUUUUGAAAUUGAAUAUUUGAAAGGCAGUGAGAAUUCUGUUCCUGAUUUUCUCACUCGAGAAUUCUUGCAGGAUGCACAAUGGCUCCCAAGAAAGACAAACAAAAAGCAGUAGCCAGUCAACCCAAGUUGCCCAAGUCGCCCAAAUCAACCCAGUCAUCCCAGUCGCUCAGAGUCCUUCCUUCCUCCAUGAGUCAACCUAAGCCAGAGUUGCCCAGGCAAAUAGUUCCAUAUCCGGGUCACCCCCCAUUAUCAGUUGCCACUCCAAUUUCAGUUGCAAACAGAUUUUCCUCUUUAGGAUCCACAGUUGGCCAAAUUCGCCCCAGUUAUCAAUCCACCUUAAUUUCCAGUUAUGACCCCUUUGCAGUUGAGAUCCCUGCAGAGCCAUCAGUUGUGCCAUCAGUUGUCCACAAAAAAUCGUCUCCUUAUUUGCCUAAAAGUAAUUCUCAUUUAUUUGUCAUUGAGUCCACAUAUGAUAUUCAUGCAAAUCCAGUAGAAAUUGCCAAACACUAUUUCCCUCCUGGAUUUCAUUAUAUGCCCCAGAGUCCAUAUAAGUCCCUCAAGUACUAUAGAGAUAUAUUACUUGAGACACAAUCAGUUGAAAUUAAGCCGAUAAAGGAUCGGGAUCAUCCUGAAACCAUUCUUUAUCAUUCUUUGUAUAUUCAUAAAAUUGUAAGCCAAGAAUCUUUUAGUAGCCAUCCUUAUGAGUUGAAAACACUUAAGUCAAAAUUACAAUAUAAUUAUUCUGAUUAUAUUGAAGCCUGGUAUACUAUUUUCCUUCAUCAAUCUGAAGACUUUAGUCAUUCCUGGUUUAUUAAUUUUGAUAAUAAGUUCAAAAGUCCUUUCCCCUACUGGUUUCUUCACUGGUGGGAAAAAUAUGGUCCUGCUGAGGAAAUCUUGCCAGCCUCAGUUCUUGAGUUAAUUCAACAUUAUGCCAAAAAAGCCAAGUUUUCUCAAGUUGACAGAUUCUUCCAGUUGCAAAUGCUUUUUAUUGCCAGGUAUAAGGUGCCUUGGAUCCUCAAAUGGGGUUACAGAGUCACCAAGGAUACCCGAGUACUUGCCCGCCAGUUUUCAGUUAAGUGGUGGGACAAAUUUGAAGUUGAACGAAUUGCUAAAAAUGUCUAUAAUGACCUCCCCCGGGAGCCAGUUCCUCGCCAUGUAUCCCCUACAGGUUCAGUCCGAUCUUCCUUAUCAGUUGAAGGAAAAUCCAAGUCAGAACUUCAGGAGAUUGCACGCCAGCUGAUCAUCCAGGCCUCUCAAAUGGAUGAUGAUGAGGACAAUGAUUCUCCCCCAUCGUCUAGUUGCCAGCCCGUGCAGAGUCCUGCCAAGACAAAGUCAUGGUUUGAUGACAGCCAGGACCCCUACGAUGCCUACGAUCUAGGGGAAUCCUCUCCAUAAUUGCCUCAGUUGCCGACAAACAAGCCUCGUCAAAGAAGUUGCCAAUUUGUCAAAAGAAGUUGCCGACAGACCACUCUGUCAAAAGAAGACGCCAGAUCACGUGAAAGCAGCGGACAAAGCAUCUCUGCUUUUACUUUAGUCAGAUCACCGAAAAGUAGCAGACAAAGCACUGUUUGCUUUUUGACAAUCCACCGAAAAUAGCCGAAAGCAUCUGCAGGAGUCAAAGUUACCUCUACAGUUGCUAAAGUUGAAUCAGGUUGAACACCCGUGCCUCUAAGGCCGAAGCCUGCUUAUAAAGAGAAAAGCAACUAUGGUUUACAUAACUUAGGAUAACAAAUAACUCGGGUAAGCAACUGUAGGAGCACGGGUAUGCAACCCGAUUCAACUUUCAAUUUUGUCUUCUUGUGGUGAAUUCAGAAAUCAACCUUGUCGGCUGGGCUUUGUCAGCUGGCAGGGAAUCUUCUGCUUUCGGCUACUUUCGAUGAAGUGACCAAAGCGAAACAGUGCUUUGUCUGCUGCUUUAGAAAAUGCUUCAUGUGAUGGCUGCUUUCGGCAAAAGCAAACAGGGCUUUGUCUGCUGCUUUCACGUGGGGCAAUUAUGGAGGGAAUCCCUAAUCAGACCCGAGGUCAUAGCCGUCAUAGGGAUCCUGGCUGUCAUCAUACCAAGUCUUUGGCUUGGCAGGGCUCUGCAUGGGCUGGCAACUAGAUGACGAGGGAGAAUCAUUGUCCUCAUCAUCAUCCAUUUGAGAGGCCUGGAUGAUCAGCUGGCGUGCAAUCUCCUGAAGUUCUGACUUGGAUUUUCCUUCAACUGAUAAGGAAGAUCGGACUGAACCUGUAGGGGAUACAUGGCGAGGAACUGGCUCCCGGGGGAGGUCAUUAUAGACAUUUUUAGCAAUUCGUUCAACUUCAAAUUUGUCCCACCACUUAACUGAAAACUGGCGGGCAAGUACUCGGGUAUCCUUGGUGACUCUGUAACCCCAUUUGAGGAUCCAAGGCACCUUAUACCUGGCAAUAAAAAGCAUUUGCAACUGGAAGAAUCUGUCAACUUGAGAAAACUUGGCUUUUUUGGCAUAAUGUUGAAUUAACUCAAGAACUGAGGCUGGCAAGAUUUCCUCAGCAGGACCAUAUUUUUCCCACCAGUGAAGAAACCAGUAGGGGAAAGGACUUUUGAACUUAUUAUCAAAAUUAAUAAACCAGGAAUGACUAAAGUCUUCAGAUUGAUGAAGGAAAAUAGUAUACCAGGCUUCAAUAUAAUCAGAAUAAUUAUAUUGUAAUUUUGACUUAAGUGUUUUCAACUCAUAAGGAUGGCUACUAAAAGAUUCUUGGCUUACAAUUUUAUGAAUAUACAAAGAAUGAUAAAGAAUGGUUUCAGGAUGAUCCCGAUCCUUUAUCGGCUUAAUUUCAACUGAUUGUGUCUCAAGUAAUAUAUCUCUAUAGUACUUGAGGGACUUAUAUGGACUCUGGGGCAUAUAAUGAAAUCCAGGAGGGAAAUAGUGUUUGGCAAUUUCUACUGGAUUUGCAUGAAUAUCAUAUAUGGAUUCAAUGAUAAAUAAAUGAGAAUUACUUUUAGGCAAAUAAGGAGACGAUUUUUUGUGGACAACUGAUGGCACAACUGAUGGCCCUGCAGGGAUCUCAACUGCAAAGGGGUCAUAACUGGAAAUUAAGGUGGAUUGAUAACUGGGGCGAAUUUGGCCAACUGUGGAUCCUAAAGAGGAAAAUCUGUUUGCAACUGAAAUUGGAGUGGCAACUGAUAAUGGGGGGUGACCCGGAUAUGGAACUAUUUGCUUGGGCAACUCUGGCUUAGGUUGACUCAUGGAGGAAGGAAGGAUUCUGAGCGACUGGGAUGACUGGGUUGAUUUGGGCGACUUGGGCAACUUGGGUUGACUGGCUACUGCUUUUUGUUUGUCUUUCUUGGGAGCCAUUGUGCAUCCUGCAAGAAUUCUCGAGUGAGAAAAUCAGGAACAGAAUUCUCACUGCCUUUCAAAUAUUCAAUUUCAAAAUCAAAUAUACUUAAUAUACUUUGCCAUCGUGCAAAAAUCUGUUUAGAUGCAAUGUUUUGAACAUCUUUUUCUAAAACAUGUUUUGCAGACAUACAAUCAACUCGGAUUAAAAACUUUUGAUUAAGCAAAUCAUCUUGAAAUUUACUAAUGCAUAAUACAAUAGCUAAAAUUUCUUUUUUAAUAGUACUGUAAUUAUGCUGCGACUGAGUCCAGGUUCCAGAAUGGAAUCGAACAAUUUGUUCUGGAGAACUAGGACUGACUUUUUGCUUAAGAAUGCCACCAUAACCUAUGUCAGAGGCAUCGGUUUCAACUAUUUUGAAUGAAUCAACUGAAGGAAUACCAAGACAGGGAAGUGUCUUGACAUGGGAUUUAAUCUGUUUAACAACUUCAGUGUGAGUAGACGACCAAGGAGGAGGAUUACUCUGCAACCUAUCAAAUAGGGGCUUACACUGUUUUCUCAGAUUCUGAUAGAAGUCAGAGAUAUAAUUUAGGGAUCCUAAAAACCUCUGAAGUUGACUCUUAUCAAGAAUUUGAUCAGGGAACUUAUCAGCAAACUGGAUAACUCGAUCAAUUGGGGAGAUUUGCNNNNNNNNNNNNNNNNNNNNNNNNNNNNNNNNNNNNNNNNNNNNNNNNNNNNNNNNNNNNNNNNNNNNNNNNNNNNNNNNNNNNNNNNNNNNNNNNNNNNNNNNNNNNNNNNNNNNNNNNNNNNNNNNNNNNNNNNNNNNNNNNNNNNNNNNNNNNNNNNNNNNNNNNNNNNNNNNNNNNNNNNNNNNNNNNNNNNNNNNNNNNNNNNNNNNNNNNNNNNNNNNNNNNNNNNNNNNNNNNNNNNNNNNNNNNNNNNNNNNNNNNNNNNNNNNNNNNNNNNNNNNNNNNNNNNNNNNNNNNNNNNNNNNNNNNNNNNNNNNNNNNNNNNNNNNNNNNNNNNNNNNNNNNNNNNNNNNNNNNNNNNNNNNNNNNNNNNNNNNNNNNNNNNNNNNNNNNNNNNNNNNNNNNNNNNNNNNNNNNNNNNNNNNNNNNNNNNNNNNNNNNNNNNNNNNNNNNNNNNNNNNNNNNNNNNNNNNNNNNNNNNNNNNNNNNNNNNNNNNNNNNNNNNNNNNNNNNNNNNNNNNNNNNNNNNNNNNNNNNNNNNNNNNNNNNNNNNNNNNNNNNNNNNNNNNNNNNNNNNNNNNNNNNNNNNNNNNNNNACUCAUUUGGAUUGCCCGGGCUAGGCGUAGUAGUCGCGUCUCACUAAAGCGCUUUGAUGUAGGGAAGACGGACGACAUGCUGCUUCCUAUACCAAAAGGCUGUGGGCAACUCAGAACAAAUUUCUUCUUUUAAUCUUUGUUCAAAUUUUUGAAUUUGCAACUGUAAGGACUGACUGGCAAGUUGUUGUUCAACUCUCUUAAACUUAAUUUCUUCCUUAAGAAAUUUCAACUGGUUAGUUUUUUGGACAACCUGAAGGGACCUAGAGACAGAAUGUUUCUGUAAGGCUUUCAGAUUAUGCAACUCAGGUUUAGAAAGGAAACUAAACUUAACUUUCUCACCUAAUUGGGUAGAAAUGACACCGUCGUAUUCUACCUGGAAGGGAUAAAGCAGACUUAUGAAGGGUAAUCCUAAGAUAACCUCAUCAGUAAUAUUUUUAACUAAAACAAACGAAGUUUUAAAACAAACUCUGUUUUGGCAAAUAUGGGCUUUAGGCAACUCAUAAUUCAGCUGAAGAGAUUUUCCUGAAGCAGUGCUUAGGGUUUCUCUAGACUUCUGGUAGUACUUAGUAGGAAUUAGACCUUCCUGAAUACAGUUAAGGUCGGCUCCUGAAUCAAAUAAGGCAAUUGUGGUAAACUCAAAAUCUUUGACAACUAUUGUAACUUUCGAAUACCAUUUUCGGAAAUUGACUUGUUUGAUUAGGUUGACAACUGGAGUUUCUUCGUCAGAACCAGCAGGGCUGUCUGACUGGUUACUGGGCACUAAAGGCAUUUUGCCUUUUUGAAGACUUGUUAAGUCUUGCCUGAUUGUGUGGUUUUCAACCUGCAACUGGUUACUAAUCUGCCUUAACUCGGCUAAUUCUUGUUUGACUAAUUUGACUUCUAACUGGAGGUCUUGUAAGGUAACUUCUUUCUUUUUCUGAGCGAACUUUUCUAUAGUAGUGGCUAAACUGACUGGCUGCGGUUUAGGACUACUAGAGCUUUCUUGACUAAUGACUUUUCGCAAUUUUUUCAAAUAAUCGGACUUUAACUCAGGGUUUUCUACUCGGCUGAUUAAGUCGAUUAACAACUCUUCUUGUUCUUCCUGUUUGGUAAGAACAAAAAUAGAUUUUAAUCUAUUACAACACUUAUCGGUGCAACCAAAUUGGACAUCAGGGGAACUAGGCUGGGAAUCUGAAGCUUGUUCAGAAUCAUAUCCAGAGCUGGCAACUAAGGUUUCGGGACUGCUAGUUUCAGAGUCUCGCAACUCUAAAACUUGGAUCAACUUUUCUCUUUCAGCUUCUGAGAUCUGCAACUGCUUAAUGGCAUCUUUAACUUUACACUCAGAGGCAUAAUGACCAAAUUUUUGACAUUUAAAACAUUUAACUUUGGACUUAUCGGUUUUGGGUCGACUCUUCUGGGCUUUUCUGGGGGCUUUAGACCAAUUUUUUCUUUUAAAACUUUUUCUUUUCUUAUAAAACUCAUUAUCACUUUUAACUGCAAAAUGUUUUCUUUUAGAGGAAAACCGACGUUUCCUAAGGUGACUUGGCUUAGACUUAUUUCUGCAUAUGCAUUAGUCUGAAUACUGAGUUAAGUUGCUGCAUAAUCAUAUUCAUCUUCUUUCUCGCUAUCUCUCUGUGUCCCCUCUCUGUUGGUAUCAGAGCCGUAAGAGUUACGGUCUUUGUCUAAGUCUGCUACUCAUUCCCGCCCAAGUGGCUGGUUUAAGCUUCUGAGUAGAAGGUUUUCAUCUUCUUCUUUUCCUUCCUUUUUAUUCUUUGAGUUGUCUGUUGAUUUCACUCUAAGGUCUGACCCGUGAGUCCUUUUUGCUAGAUCUGUAAGUCCCGAGGGUAGGGCGUUUGUGCUGGGCAGGAGACAGAAAAUUGAGUGGAGUUAGUAGAUUUCUUAGAGUCUAAGGAGUGAGUCCGAGAAGUUCCUGUUUAUCUUCUUCCUCAGUCCGUUUGAGUCAAACACUUGAGUAGCCAUGAGUCGUUUUCUUAGGUCGAGUUCCUGUAAGUCAAGCAGUUCUAAGACCAAUAUAAGUCGACUCCCUGAGAUAGUUAAUGAAGAACAAUUUGAAUAUGAUUCUAGUUGCAAAGAACAAUUAGAUUUUAGAGAUUGGAAUAUCCCUAAAGUCCCUAGUCAAAAAAUCUAUAAGAAACAUUGGUUGCCUUCCAGUUUUAAUUGCACCACACAUGUCAAAACAGUUGAACAAGUUUACGCUCUUAGUAAAGAACACGAAACUUGCCAGUUGCUUAAUCUUGAGUCAAUCAAAAAGCACAAGACUGAUGGAAACAAUUUCCUGCAUAUUGGUCUUGUUCAAGUUGCCGUUAAGCCCCUAACCAGGUUAGGUUUGAAAGCCUCCAUACUGCUCUGUUUACGCGAUGCCCGGUUCACCGCGUUCAGUGACAGUACGCUAGGAGUUAUUGAGUCCAGUUUGUGUAACGGUCCAGUUCAUUUUGAUUGUUACCCAGACUUCACUGUAAGCCUUAGUGAUCCACAUAUAUUGAGAACCCUAACUCUCAAUAUUAAGACUGAAGGUUAUAAUGUCCUCCCAGGAACCCAACCUUUAGCAUUAGUUUACAGAAUUUACUAUAAGGUCACAGGAACCAAUAUGAACUUCCAGGCCUUAAACAAAAGCCCAAAGGAUCAGACAGUCCUGAUCCAGAGUCACACCUCAGACGCCCAUAUUCAAGUUCCCCAGACCAUUAAAUGGUCAGAAGUUGCCCUUCCAACAGAUUGGACCUUAGUUACCGAGAGCCAACCAGCUCCGAUUCAACGUAGUCUAAACAAUUUAGACUACAUCCAGCAGUACUUAGAUGGCACGGUUAAGAUUAGAUUCGAUAGCCAGCCUCUACAUAAGUCUAAAGUCCAGUUACACCAGUUACCAACCCCAGGUCAGUCACAAAGGCAUGCCCCAGCUAGGCACUCCUUUACUGCCUCAUCCUCAACUCUAGAACGAGACCUAGAGUUAGAAAAAACCAUGAUAGAUUUAAAGCUUGAGUCCCUGAGAAGAUCCUCUCAUGUAACCCAACCCUGCUACGGCACGGUUCCAGUAGAAGAAAAGUCAGAAUCCCCUGAGUCACCUACCCAGUCUGACUUCAUAGUUGAAAACCAGUUAAGAACCCUUAAUAGAAAAUUUAAAAUUGAUUGGUCACGUCUAAACAAACAUCUCAAAGCCCCUGAGAACCUGUCUAGACGAGAUAGUUAUCACCAAGCCUUUCCUGAUAGUAGCCGCCGCUUAGAAAUCUUUAGUGAAUGGAAAGAUUACAUGCGGUCAGCCCAAGUUGAAAUUUUCUACCUUGAUUUUGUUGAAAGCCGUUAUAUGUCAAAUGAUGAGUUAAAAACCUUAACUCAGCAAAAAUGGAAAAUGGCAGAUAAGUCUGUCGUUGAGUCUAGCCAUCCUCCAGUAGAAACCAUAAUUAUUGAGCAUAAAGAUACUCUUAUUCCUGCUACUCCUUUCAAAACAUUUGAAAGCAGUGACAGUAAUAGAAGAAUUCUUGAGCAAAAUAAUUAUACCAACCAGAGUCUAAUUGUUAUAGGAAAACAGUUGGAUACAAUUGAAACUAAAAUUGAUAAGAUAGGUUCUACAGACGUAGAGUCUAAAAAGAAAAUUGAAAAACCAAUUGUCCAGUUCCAGGAUCUUAGGUCUAGCCCGACCCUUAAGAUCACACCUACAAUAAAGAAAAUAGAAGACAUGUUAGCCCAGUUGACCCCUGCCAAAGUUGAAAAAACUGAGAAAUCUGGUCUUAAAACACUAGAUGCCUUUGCAGUAGAAAAUACCUCUGAGUCUGAGUCUUCAGAAGUAAGCAAUAUUUCUAAAAUUGAAAAAGCCUUUCAAACUUUAGAAAUCCAAGUUGAACCCAAAGUUAAGAAAUUAGAAAAGUUUGUCAGCCCCAGUAGUCUGACCAAAAAUUGGUAUCCCAGACCAACACCUCCUGACAUUCAAUUUGAAGAAAGAAACCUGCAGACCCAGUUCUCUGUUUCUUCCGACAAAUUGUAUGAAUGGAAUAUUGAUGGUCUCUCUGAGCAAGAGAUCCUCAAUAAGUUACAACAUAUGUCCAUGGUUGCCAAUAGUUAUAUCACCAAUCACAGUUUCAGACAGUCUGAAAUUGUCCCUCUGUUAGUCACUGGUUUCACCGGUACUCUCAGAAGUUGGUGGGAUAAACACCUGAGUCCUGAGUCUAAAAGCCGUAUAACCUUUGCUGUAAAACUGAAUGAUGACGGUCACCCUAUCUUUGACGAACGAAUAGGUCAAGGUAUAGAAGACGGUGUCAACACCCUGUUUUACACCAUAAUCGAUCACUUCAUAGGAACCCCUAGUAAUCAAACUGCUAGGAUCCAUGACCAGUUAAGUAAUCUUAGAUGCCCAAAGUUGUCCGAUUUCAGAUGGUAUAAGGAUGUCUUCAUCUCUAGAGUCAUGCUUAGAGACGAUAGUAACCAACCAUUCUGGAAAGAGAAAUUUGUUAAUGGUUUGCCAAACCUAUUUGCCCAUAAGAUCAGAACUACCCUCAGUAAUGAAUUAGGUCAUAUUGAUUGGGAUAGUUUAACUUAUGGUAACAUUGUAAGCACAAUUAAUCAAGUUGGCAUGAAAAUGUGUGUUGAUUACAAAAUCGGAAAACAAAUACAGUCCGAUAGGAAAUCAGCCAAAUAUGAGUUAGGAAACUUCUGUGAACAAUACGGUCUCAGUAGCAUUCCGCCCUCUAGAAGAAAUAAGUCUAAGCCAAGUCACCUUAGGAAACGUCGGUUUUCCUCUAAAAGAAAACAUUUUGCAGUUAAAAGUGAUAAUGAGUUUUAUAAGAAAAGAAAAAGUUUUAAAAGAAAAAAUUGGUCUAAAGCCCCCAGAAAAGCCCAGAAGAGUCGACCCAAAACCGAUAAGUCCAAAGUUAAAUGUUUUAAAUGUCAAAAAUUUGGUCAUUAUGCCUCUGAGUGUAAAGUUAAAGAUGCCAUUAAGCAGUUGCAGAUCUCAGAAGCUGAAAGAGAAAAGUUGAUCCAAGUUUUAGAGUUGCGAGACUCUGAAACUAGCAGUCCCGAAACCUUAGUUGCCAGCUCUGGAUAUGAUUCUGAACAAGCUUCAGAUUCCCAGCCUAGUUCCCCUGAUGUCCAAUUUGGUUGCACCGAUAAGUGUUGUAAUAGAUUAAAAUCUAUUUUUGUUCUUACCAAACAGGAAGAACAAGAAGAGUUGUUAAUCGACUUAAUCAGCCGAGUAGAAAACCCUGAGUUAAAGUCCGAUUAUUUGAAAAAAUUGCGAAAAGUCAUUAGUCAAGAAAGCUCUAGUAGUCCUAAACCGCAGCCAGUCAGUUUAGCCACUACUAUAGAAAAGUUCGCUCAGAAAAAGAAAGAAGUUACCUUACAAGACCUCCAGUUAGAAGUCAAAUUAGUCAAACAAGAAUUAGCCGAGUUAAGGCAGAUUAGUAACCAGUUGCAGGUUGAAAACCACACAAUCAGGCAAGACUUAACAAGUCUUCAAAAAGGCAAAAUGCCUUUAGUGCCCAGUAACCAGUCAGACAGCCCUGCUGGUUCUGACGAAGAAACUCCAGUUGUCAACCUAAUCAAACAAGUCAAUUUCCGAAAAUGGUAUUCGAAAGUUACAAUAAUUGUCAAAGAUUUUGAAUUUACCACAGUUGCCUUAUUUGAUUCAGGAGCUGACCUUAACUGCAUUCAGGAAGGUCUAAUUCCUACUAAGUAUUACCAGAAGUCUAGAGAAACCCUAAGCACUGCCUCAGGAAAAUCUCUCCAGUUGAAUUAUGAGUUGCCUAAAGCCCAUAUUUGCCAAAACAAAGUUUGUUUUAAAACUUCGUUUGUUUUAGUUAAAAAUAUUACUGAUGAGGUUAUCUUAGGAUUACCCUUCAUAAGUCUGCUUUAUCCCUUCCAGGUAGAAUACGACGGUGUCAUUUCUACCCAAUUAGGUGAGAAAGUUAAGUUUAGUUUCCUUUCUAAACCUGAGUUGCAUAAUCUGAAAGCCUUACAGAAACAUUCUGUCUCUAGGUCCCUUCAGGUUGUCCAAAAAACUAACCAGUUGAAAUUUCUUAAGGAAGAAAUUAAGUUUAAGAGAGUUGAACAACAACUUGCCAGUCAGUCCUUACAGUUGCAAAUUCAAAAAUUUGAACAAAGAUUAAAAGAAGAAAUUUGUUCUGAGUUGCCCACAGCCUUUUGGUAUAGGAAGCAGCAUGUCGUCCGUCUUCCCUACAUCAAAACCUUUAGUGAGAAAAAUAUCCCCACUAAAGCCAGGCCAAUCCAAAUGAGUCAAGAAAUGAUGGAGUUCUGUAAGAAAGAAAUUGAAGAGUUGCUUCAAAAGAAAAUAAUUCGCAAGAGUAAGUCCCCCUGGUCAUGUCCUGCUUUUUAUGUCCAGAAAAAUGCUGAACUAGAAAGAGGUGUUCCCAGAUUAGUUAUCAAUUAUAAGCCCCUUAAUGCGGUCCUAGAAUGGAUUAGGUAUCCCAUACCUAAUAAAAGAGAUCUCAUUAAUCGGUUAGAAAAAGCAGUUGUCUAUUCUAAGUUUGAUUUGAAAAGUGGUUUCUGGCAAAUCCAAAUAGAUGAGUCAGACAGAUAUAAGACUGCAUUUGUCACUCCCUUUGGUCAUUACGAGUGGAAUGUAAUGCCCUUUGGUUUGAAAAAUGCUCCUAGUGAAUUCCAGAAUAUCAUGAAUGAUAUAUUCAAUCCUUACAGUCAGUUUUCGAUUGUUUAUAUUGAUGAUGUUCUAAUCUUUUCUGAGUCAAUAGAACAACAUUGGAAACAUUUGCAUAAGUUCCUUCAAGUUGUCAAACAAAAUGGUUUAGUUGUUUCUGCCAAAAAGAUCAAGUUGUUUCAAACCAAUAUUCGUUUUCUUGGUUUCAAUAUUUGUCAGUCGCAAAUCUCCCCAAUUGAUCGAGUUAUCCAGUUUGCUGAUAAGUUCCCUGAUCAAAUUCUUGAUAAGAGUCAACUUCAGAGGUUUUUAGGAUCCCUAAAUUAUAUCUCUGACUUCUAUCAGAAUCUGAGAAAACAGUGUAAGCCCCUAUUUGAUAGGUUGCAGAGUAAUCCUCCUCCUUGGUCGUCUACUCACACUGAAGUUGUUAAACAGAUUAAAUCCCAUGUCAAGACACUUCCCUGUCUUGGUAUUCCUUCAGUUGAUUCAUUCAAAAUAAUUGAAACCGAUGCCUCUGACAUAGGUUAUGGUGGCAUUCUUAAGCAAAAAGUCAGUCCUAGUUCUCCAGAACAAAUUGUUCGAUUCCAUUCUGGAACCUGGACUCAGUCGCAGCAUAAUUACAGUACUAUUAAAAAAGAAAUUUUAGCUAUUGUAUUAUGCAUUAGUAAAUUUCAAGAUGAUUUGCUUAAUCAAAAGUUUUUAAUCCGAGUUGAUUGUAUGUCUGCAAAACAUGUUUUAGAAAAAGAUGUUCAAAACAUUGCAUCUAAACAGAUUUUUGCACGAUGGCAAAGUAUAUUAAGUAUAUUUGAUUUUGAAAUUGAAUAUUUGAAAGGCAGUGAGAAUUCUGUUCCUGAUUUUCUCACUCGAGAAUUCUUGCAGGAUGCACAAUGGCUCCCAAGAAAGACAAACAAAAAGCAGUAGCCAGUCAACCCAAGUUGCCCAAGUCGCCCAAAUCAACCCAGUCAUCCCAGUCGCUCAGAGUCCUUCCUUCCUCCAUGAGUCAACCUAAGCCAGAGUUGCCCAGGCAAAUAGUUCCAUAUCCGGGUCACCCCCCAUUAUCAGUUGCCACUCCAAUUUCAGUUGCAAACAGAUUUUCCUCUUUAGGAUCCACAGUUGGCCAAAUUCGCCCCAGUUAUCAAUCCACCUUAAUUUCCAGUUAUGACCCCUUUGCAGUUGAGAUCCCUGCAGAGCCAUCAGUUGUGCCAUCAGUUGUCCACAAAAAAUCGUCUCCUUAUUUGCCUAAAAGUAAUUCUCAUUUAUUUGUCAUUGAGUCCACAUAUGAUAUUCAUGCAAAUCCAGUAGAAAUUGCCAAACACUAUUUCCCUCCUGGAUUUCAUUAUAUGCCCCAGAGUCCAUAUAAGUCCCUCAAGUACUAUAGAGAUAUAUUACUUGAGACACAAUCAGUUGAAAUUAAGCCGAUAAAGGAUCGGGAUCAUCCUGAAACCAUUCUUUAUCAUUCUCUUUAUAUUCAUCAAAUUAUCAGUCAACAAUCUUUCAGUAGCCAUCCUUAUGAGUUGAAAUUUCUUAUGUCAAAAUUACAAUAUAAUUAUUCGGAUUAUAUUGAAGCUUGGUAUACUAUCUUUCUUCACCAAUCUGAAGAUUUUAGUCAUUCCUGGUUUAUUAAUUUUGAUAAUAAGUUCAAAAGCCCAUUCCCCUACUGGUUUCUUCACUGGUGGGAAAAAUAUGGUCCAGUUGAUGAAAUUCUUCCAGUAUCAGUUCUUGAGUUGAUCCGCCAUUUUACUAAAAGAGCCAAGUUUUCCCUAGUUGAUUUAUUCUUUCCCAAACAGUUGCUGUUUAUUGCCAGAUACAAGGUACCUUGGAUCCUUAAAUGGUCCUAUGCCAUCACCAAGGACACCCGUGUAUUUGCCCGCCAAUUCUCAAUCAAAUGGUGGGACAAGUUUGAAGUUGACAGAAUUGCCAAAUACGUCUACAGUGACCUCCCCCGGGAGCCAGUUGCUCACCCUGUAUCUCCUACAGGCUCAGUCAGAUCAUCCUUAUCAAUCGAAGGAAAAUCUAAAGCUGAGCUCCAGGAAAUUGCACGCCAGCUGAUCAUCCAGGCUUCUCAGAUGGAUGAUGAUGAGGACAAUGAUUCUCCUCCAUCGUCUAGUUGCCAACCCAUGCUGAGUCCUGCCAAGACAAAGUCAUGGUUCGAUGACAGCCAGGACCCCUAUGAUGCCUACGACCUAGGGGAAUCUUCUCCAUAAUUGCCUCAGUUGCCGACAAGCAAGCCUCGUUGCCAAUUUGUCAAAAGUAGUUGCCGACAGACCACUCUGUCAAAAGAAGUUGCUAGAUCACGUGAAAGCAGCGGACAAAGCAUCUCUGCUUUUACUUUUGUCAGAUCACCAAGAAGCAGCAGACAAAGCACUGUUUGCUUUUUGACAAUCCACCGAAAGUAGCCGAAAGCAUCUGCAGGAGUCAAAGUUACCUCUACAGUUGCUAAAGUUGAAUCAGGUUGAACAUCCGUGCCUCUACAGCUGUCCAACCAUAGUUGCUUUUGUAAACCAUAGUUGAAAGUUGUCUUUAAAUUCAGGCUUCGGCCUCAGUUGUAGGCAGAACUGGUUUUACCAGCUGCAUUUUAUUUUCCUAGUUUUAAAGAUUCUCUCUGAAACACCUUUAGAGAAAUCACGCUUGUACAUAGUCUAAGUGUGUUAAGUUUGCAGUUGCAACCUCUGUGAGUAUAAUAAAAGUUGCUAUUUUUAAAUUAUUCUAUUAUAUAUAUAUAUAUAUAGAUGAAAGGUAUGCAAAAAAUCAUCAGGCACAUGAAAUGAUUGGUACUGAAGGGGCACUGAGAGGAGAAGCAAUGAGGGCCACUAGCUUGUACCAAAUCACAUGGGUUUGUUUUCGUGCUCAUGUAACCCUUCCGCAAGAGAUUUCUCAUGAAAAUGAUCAAACUCUAUCCUUGUGUAGAAAUAGGAUUCCCUACCUAGCUAGCUCCUCUGGUUAACAGACAACAAAAGGGACCACCAUGUUCUUGAAAAAUGAAUUCAUUGCGCCUCUGGUUAAUUAACAGUACUGCAUAUGGUAUGCCCUACAACAAAAACUUGUUAGCUUGUGUGAUAAACUAGUAGUCUCUUUCUUUUUCAUCUUUUUAUAAAUGCUGCUUCAAAAGACAAGAAUUUGUGGUGCUAUGAGAAUAUACAUGGACCCUCGGAUGCUCUAUGAUUUGGUUGGUUGGGAGCACCAAACCACCCCUUGCAUGUGGCUUUGUCUUUCAUCUAUGAUAUUCAGGCCCAACAAGCAAGGGAAGUCUUUCAUUUGUUUGAAGAAUUGAUACUUACUGAGAAUGCAGUAGGUAAUGAGUACAUAUCUAAAAAGCAUAUGAUAUCAAGAGAGUGCUAAUCUGUAGCAAUUAUAAAUGUUGGAUACAUACUUUUUACUUAAAAGUAAAACAUACUCAUAGACUUGCUGUAUAUAUUCCUUGUCUCUCAAGGACUUGAUUCUUGCCUAGAAUAGGAAAUCCUUUGUGUAGACACCAAGCAAAGCAUUGUAUAUAAUUAUCACAUGAUUGUUCAAUGAAAAUCAUCGAGAAUAUUCAAAACCUUUCAUGGUAUCAAGAGCCUGAGACUCACAGUCCUCGAUCCUCAAUUUUCUUGUUCCCUGUCUUUUUUUUUUCUUUUUUUUUUUUUGGCACCAUGGCUUCUUCCUCCUCUAUUGAUUUUCCUGGCAUUCAUCAUGUUAUCUCCAUUCGUAUCAAGCGUGAUAAUUAUUUGACAUGGCUUGCUCAAAUUGUUCCUAUCCUUCGCAUCCGCCGCUUACUCAGCUUCGUUGACGACACUUCUCUAUGUCCUCCGACCAUUCCUGACCCAAAUGCUAAGGCCGAUGAAUUUUCUUUUCUGUCUCUCCUCCCCAACCCAAAGUAUGAUGAUUGGUGUUUACACCAUAAUGAACCGAGCAGACCCAGCACCAAAGUGACUAGUACCAAGGCAGCCACGCCUUCUCCUGUGCCGAAGGAAGACACACUUCCGAGGUGCCAGACACCAUAAUGAACCGAGCAGACCCAGCACCAAAGUGACUAGCACCAAGGCAGCCACGCCUUCUCCUGUGCCGAAGGAAGACACACUUCCGAGGUGCCAGACACCUACCGAAGCUCCCAGCUGCCAAACCUAAUCUCCAGGACACGUGUCGCCACCACGACGACUUGCACAAAGUCCCACAUCGGAACUUUGUGCAAACCUCCUACUUUCACCUCCCUAUAAAUAGGGAACAGUACCCAGGUAAAAAGGGUAACUAUUCUCCCACUUUUACUGUUACUCUGCCAGAAUUACUACUUGUAACUGACUUAGGCAUCGGAGAGCCUUCGGCCGGCACCACACCGAUGUCCGAAGCUUAACGAUUGCUUCUCCCACUUUGUCUUCUGCAGGUUUCCCAUCAACCUAUAUUUCACCAAGGGCCUCAGCUCUCUUCCCUACCGAAGACCCCGCAUACCUAAUCACUAAGUUGGACUCACUAUUGGCCGGGCCAUUUUGAGCAUCAACAAUUGGGUCCAGAAAGAUCAGCUUGUUUUCUCUCUCUCAUCAACGGUUCCUUUCACCAUAAAGUUCUCACCACCAUAGCUUCCAAGACCACCGCGUGUGACACUUGGGUAGCCCUUGAAACUCGUUUUGCUUCUCCAAAUCAGAAUCGUCUUCUUCAACUUCACAGUAACUUGCUUCGCACAACCCGUGGUGAAUCUUCCAUCACUGAUUUCCUUAAUCGUAUUAACUCGAUUGACGAUAACUUGGCUCUAGCAGGUGCUUCAGUUGCUAACUCUGAUCUCCUUGUUGUGGUUACGAACAACGUUUGUCCUCUUUAUGAAAAUACCAUUGCCGAUACUCAAGCUCGUGAGAAACCCAUCAAUAUGCCUGAUCUUGAUGCUUUCCUCUUGUCUGUGGAACGUCGCCUGUAAUUAUCUUCUUCUCUGGUCAUCUAUUCUGGUGCGACAGCUAUGGAAGCUUCCCACGGUGGUCUCGGUGGACGCGGUUUUGGCGAUCGCGCUGGGUUUGCUGGUCGUGGUCCUGAUCUUCGCAACUCAUUUUCUCCCUCACGACCUGGUUUUACUUCUGGUCGCGGUUUCCCUGGCGCUUCUUAUGACGCCUCUAGUCCUGCCUCACAUCAACAACGUUUUGUAGCAAUUUUGAGCCGAGUGUUCUUGGCCCACCUCCUUCUGGUUCUACUGCUUCCUCUUUUGGGCCUCAUUCUGCCUGUGGGCCUCUUCAAUGUUUCAAUUGUCAUGGUUUUGGCCACAUCGCAGCUGUCAGUCCUUCCAAGAUGUCUUCUGUGCCUUCUCCUCCGUCUCGUCUUCAAGACAUGACUGCUCAAUAUCCUUCACAUGGUGGCCAUCAACAGUGGGUUGCUGAUACCGAUGCAAACACUCAUUUUACUAAUGACCUGAGCUGCUUAUCCCUUGCUAGACAGUAUCAUGGUUCUGACAAUGUUGAAGGUGUGCUUGGUGGAAUAGGUUUGCCUAUUAAAAAUAUUGGUCACUCUCAUUUCUCUCACCUUAAUUCUUCUUUUCAUCUUAAUGAUAUUCUUCAUUGUCCCGAUGCAUCUCUUCCUCUUUUAUCUAUUCAUAAAUUUCCUACUAACAAAAAUUGUUUCUUCACUUUUUUUCCUGAUUGUUAUUUUAUCCAGGAUUUGGGGACGAGGAAGACACUUUUCUUGGGCAAGAGUAGUAAUGGCCUAUAUCCCUUUUCGUUUACUCCGAAUGAGUUUUUUCAAGUUUUGCGUGAUCGCGUUGCUUUACUAGGUGUCUGUGUUGACCACUCUAUGUGGCACUCUCACCUUGGUCAUCCUGCUUCGUCUACCAUUCGAGAUGACGUGCGAGUCAAGCUAUUGAAGUCUCGGAAGAACAACGAGCCUUUCGUGGAUGCGAAUGAUCUUGAUGCUAGGAUCAUCACCUUCCGUCCUUUUUACUUCUCCUUGGGCUUCAAAUUCCCGCUGUCAAAGCUUUUCAAGGAGGUGUUCUGCGCCAUGGGGUGUGCUCCGAGCCAGUGUACUCCAAACGCUUACCGAGCGAUCAUGUGCUUUGAGAAUUUGAGUCGUUUCUUCAUGUUGGAGCUGACGGUGCGAGAGUUCUUUUAUUUUUUCGAAGUGAGGCACUUCGAGCAGUAUGCCCAAGUUCGCGUCUACAAGGCCAAGCUGUUCAACAGUCUUAGUCAAGGGGAUCACGCUUGGCAUGACGACGUGUUGGAGGUCAGCGGACGGUGGGAAGGCGACGUCGGUGACAGCCCACUUGUUCCCAUCACCUAUUGCGAUGGUAUGUCUCUUUGCAAUUUUUGAUGCGCUCCUGUUAUUUGAAUUUCUUGAAGUGUGGCUGACUAACUUCUGUCUUCUGCUUGCAGUGAGUGACAUCAGCAAGCAAUUGGAGCUUGGGCCGGACAUGGCUAAGGUCCGUCGUGUUUUGAACAUCCCUCUAAGGUUUUGCGAGUGACGCUGGCUGUUGAGUGAGUACCGGGAGGAAGACGGUGGUUUGCCCCCUGCCGAGGAUGUCGAAAGGUGGAAGCAGAACGGUCCUGACCCUGAUGAUCUGCUUGGCGGACAAGAAGAAUGUUCUGCUGAAUCUCUCUCAAAGAGAAAAGCUGCUGCCAAAUCUUCAAGAGGUGAAGCUACUUCUUCGCACGCGAAGGAUGGGUCUCAUUCGAGGAAGAAACCAAGGCUUCCUUCUGCUGAGAAGACUCAAGUAGGGUAUGUUCCCUUAUCAUCUGCCAGGGUCAAGCAUCUCGUGGGUGCAGAUAGUACGAAGGUUGGUGGUAUGCGCGGUAUUCGGGGUGUUCUACACGAGCCUCCUGCUGACACGCUCGACAACCAUGAUAUGUUUCGUGAAACGGCUCGUGCUCGACCUAGUUCUGUCGAGCGUCAAAAAGAUGCAGGCAUUCCUCCUAGAAGUUCAAGUCGUCUGCAUCGGUCAAAAGAUGGAGAUCGAAACGGGAGGUCUGCUCAUGAUCCAGCAUUAUUGACUCCUUUGGAGAUGAAGUUAGCGGAAGCUAAGAAGAUGAGAGAGUCAUAUGCCCGAGUUAAGGGUUUUUCCUCCACGUCGGCAGUUGGUCCUAAGGUGAACUAGCCUAGCUCUGUAGGGGAUGCGAUCUGCUUAAGACGAACUUCCUAUCAAAUCCGUCGUCCUGUGCUGAGUUGGUUGAUCACAUCCAUCAGGCUGGCGAUCUUGGCACUUUCUCAUGUCUUUCCUUGGAAAAACAAAGGGAAGCGUCAUUCCAUCUGAUUCAAAAAGGACUGAUUUUUGCUGCUGAGACUAUUCGGAACUCAUCUGGUGUUGCCCCCUCUUCUGCCCAACUCAGCGAGUUGGAGAAGAAGAAUGCUGAAUUGGCCAGCCAGCUUUCCGCCGAGCAGGCCCGCUACGAGAAGAAGACGUCUGAUUUGAGGGCGAUGAUAUCUAGGCUGAAAAGCUCCCUUACCGAGAAGGAUUCCGAGCUCAACUCUUCCGCUGCUGAUUUGGUAGUCGAAAAGAUGCCUUCUUUCAUCUUGAGCGUAAGAAUGCGGACAUCUCCCUUAGCUAUGACAAACUCCUGGCUAGAUUUCAUGCCUAUCAUAAGUCUGCUAAAGAAUCCAAGUCUGAAGCCACCAUAGAUGCGUACAAAUUGCUACCUGCAUUGCGCAAAUGAGACUGAUUCCUUGUAUGCGAUUGAUGAUGUAGACAUCGAGAUGCUCUGCCCCGACUCACCCCCUAUGGAAGGGGGAAUUGAAGAGCAGGUAACCAGAGAGGAUGAAGCAGAGGUAGACGCAGUAGACAAGAUGAUGGCAGAUGUCAUGGUUCAGGCAGAUGGAGUUGCUGAAGACGUAGCUAGUCAGGUGGAUGCCGAAGAGGCUGCAGCUUAAAAGUCUUCUGCUGGCGUCUCCAAGUAGAUGAAGACUCUUUUUUGUUUCUUUUCAGCUUUUGUAGUUUGCUUUUUUGUUUAGAAUAACUGGUCUUAUUUGACCAUCUUCUUUUUGUUAAACUUGGCCGGUUGGUCUGUUUGUUAUGAAAAUUUCAGUUACAUUUUCCAACUUCAACUUGCAUAUUUGUCUUGUGAACUGCUUGAGUAACCAUCCUAUGUUUUAAUUGCACGUCCUCCUUUAGAGAUUUGUGAGUACCAGGGUCCCCCUUGAAGGACUCCGGGCAUGCACUGCAAAUCCCAUAGGAUGAUUCCCCUUAGGAAGUUGGCGAGCACCAGGAUCCCCCUUGAGAGACUCGUGUGUGUUCUGCACAUCUCUAGGAUGAUUUCCCUUAGGAAGUUGGCGAGCACCAGGAUCCCCCUUGAGAGACUCCGGGUGUGUUCUGCACAUCCCGUAGGAUGAUUCCCCUUAGGAAGUUGGCGAGCAUCAGGGUCCCCCUUGAGAGACUCCGGGUGUAUUCUGCACAUCCCGUAGGAUGCCUUGGUCGUCGCCCUGCGUCUCCCGUAGGACGCUACUUAUGGGCAACUACAUGAUUAUCUCGCCUCCCUUAGGAAACGGAUAGGAACCUAGAUAUUUCCCGCAGGAAGCAUGGAGACCUCCUUUUAAGAAAUUCCUGACGCACCCUGCGUCUCUCUUAGGACGCUUUUUUAGCGGGCUACGUCUCCAAACGGACGCGUUUUGUCAUCACCCUGCGUCUCCCUUAGGACGCUCCUUAUGGGCAACUGUGUGACUAUCCUGCCUCUCUUAGGAAACAGAUAGGAACCUGGAUAUUUCCCGCAGGAAGCAUGGCGACCCCCUUUUAAGAAACUCAUGGCGCACUCUGCGUCUCCCUUAGGACAUUUUUUUAGCGGGCUGCGUCUCCAAACGGACGCUUUUAGUCGUCGCCCUGCGUCUCCCUUAGGACGCUCCUUAUGGGCAACAGUGUGACUAUCCUGCCUCCCUUAGAAAACGGAUAGAAACCUGGAUAUCUCCCUUAGCAAAUUCCUGGCGUACCCUGCGUAUCCCGAAGGACGCUGCUUAUGGGCAAAUAUUGUGUUUCGUGGGCAGAUGAGACAUUUUGGAAUGAGAAACUGAACUUAUAUUGAUAUCAUAAGAUUACAGUCCUUUAUUCAAAAAUGGAAACAACUUGGUACAAAACUUAGAACUUCUAGCAGUCAGGAGGAGGUGCUACGGAUAAUACUUUCGAAGAUGGUGAGCAUUCCUUUGUCAUGGUAUUUCCUUCCCCUCCAUAGUGUCGAGUGUGUAGCUUCCUCUACCCCCAGACCGGCUGAUCAUGUAAGGACCCUCCCAGUUAGGAUUCAUCUUUUUUGACCCUUGCCUCGGUGUAGUAAUGAAAGUCUUUCUUAGCACGAGGUCGCCUGGUUGAAACUGUCUGACCUUAGCUCUUUUGUCGUGGUAAGACUUCAACUGUUGCUGAUAAGAGGCGACCCGGAUAAUGGUCUUCUCACGUUCGCCUUCAAGUAAGUCGAGGUUGAGCCUCAUCUGCUCGGAGUUCUGAUCAUCUGAUGUGGGGUGGUAUGAUCGCUUCUAUUCCAUAGGCGAGGGAGAAUGGGGUUUUACCAGUCGAUCUUCAUUUGGUGGUGCGAUAAGCCCAUAGUACUCCGGGGAGUUCAUCCACCCAUUUUCCUUCUGCGCCUUCCAGCCUUUUCUUCAAGCAGUCCAAUAUGACUUUGUUGGAUGCCUCGACUUGUCCAUUUCCUUGUGGAUACCUCGGGGUGGACAAGUGUUGCUUGAUCUUGUAUUUCGCAAAAAAGGUGGUGAUCUACUUGCCAAUGAACUGUGAGCCAUUAUCUGUAACCAGCGACUGUGGGCAGCCAAACCGGCAUAUGAUGUUUCUCCAGAUGAAUCGCUCCACAUCGGCCUCUUUAGUAGAGGAUAGAGCUUCGGCCUCUUUAGUAGAGGAUAGAGCUUCGGCCUCAAUCCAUUUAGUAAAGUAGUCGGUGGCGAGGAUCAUCAUUUCUUUCUUGGCGGGCGCUGGUGGCAAGGGACCCACUAGGUCGAUGGCCCAUUGCAUAAACGGCCAUGGACUGUUUUGCGGAUGAUAGACUUCGGCAGGCAGGUUAGGGAUCGGCUUGUAUCACUGACAGCGAUCACACUUCUUGACAUAUUCAGCGCAGUCGUGACGCAUGGUAGGCCAGAAGUAUCCUAUGUUUAGAGCUUUCUGGGCGAGUGACCUGCCCCCAGAGUGGUUGCCACACUCGCCGUCGUGAAUUUUACAGAGAACCUCAAGUGUUUGAGGGUACUUUAUGCAGGUGAGAUGAGGGCCGGAGUAUGAUCUGUGGAUGAGCUUGGUACCGUGCAUGUAGUAUCUCGCGGCCUUCUGCUGGACCUUUCUAGCUUCGGACUUGUCCGGUGGCAGGUUUCCAUUCGUCAAAUAGUCGAUGAUGGGGUCUUGCCAACUAGGGUCCUCGUCAAUCUGCAUGGUAUCGAUUAGCUCUAUUUCUUCAAUGCUUGGUCAGUCAAGGUGUUCGACCGGGAUGGAGAGUCUGAACUAGGUAUCUAGCGCUGAUCCUAGGCUUGCCAAUGUGUCUGCAUGAGCGUUCUCUGCCCGGGGCACUUGUUGGAUGGUGAAGGUGGGAAAUGCCUUCAACAGCUCUUGGACUUUGUCAAGGUGCAAGAUCAUCUUUGGGUGCUUUGCCAUGUAUUCACCUGAGGCUUGAUUCGUGAUCAAUUGUGAGUCUGAGUAGAUAGCUAGCUUUUUGAUUGCGAGCUCUUUUGCCAAGCGUAGGCCGGCGAGCAAUGCCUCGUAUUCUGCCUCGUUGUUCGAGGCCGGGAAGCCAAGCAUAAUAGCUUGCUCCAACAGGGUUCCAUUCGGAGUGGUGAUGACGACCCCUGCUCCAGCUCCUCUUUGGUUCGACGUUCCGUCUACGCGCAACUGACACAUGUCUCUGGGUUGGCUAGGUUCUGCGGAGGUCCCGUCUGCUUUUGAACUUUCCCUCUUUUGGUUGACCAACUUCACUUUUUCGGCUUGAUGGGGUGAAUUCUACGAUGAAGUCUGCUAAAGCCUGGGCUUUUAUAGCAGUUUUUGGCCGGUAGAGGAGGUCAUAUUGGCUUAGCUCUAUAGCCCACUUCAUGAGUUGCUGAGAAGCAUCAGGGCUGUGGAGGAUUGAUCUCAAAGGAAAGUCGGUCAUGACGAUGACUCGAUGAGCUUGGUAGUAGGGUCGCAGCUUUCUCGCAGAAACUACAAGAGCCAAAAUAAGUUUCUCCAACUUCGGGUAGCGAGUUUCUGCAUCGAGGAGAGCUUUUGACGUGUAGAAUACCGGAUGUUGGGCCCCCAGCUCUUCUCGAAUGAGAGCUGAACUGAUAGCUGAGUUGGACACUGCCAGCUAUACAAACAAGUUCUCACCAGAGACUGGCUUUGAGAGCAGAGGAGGUGAGUUAAGGCAAGUCUUCAGACUCUGGAAAGCUACUUCGCACUCCUCGUCCCAUUUGUCUCUUUGUCCUUUCUUCAAAGCUUUGAAGAAUGGUCUGCACUUGUCAGUUGAUCUCGAGAGGAAUCGGUUGAGGGCCGCUGCUCUGCCCGUCAGACUUUGUAUUUCCUUCACCGUGGAAGGUGAUUUCAUCUCGAGAAUGGCUUUGAUUUGACGUGGGUGUGCCUCGAUACCUCGUUGCGUGACUAGGUAUCCCAAGAAUCGGCCAGAGGAUACCCCAAACGUGCAUUUACUUGGAUUCAACUUCAUGCAAUAUUGGCGGAGCAAGCUGAAUGACUCAUCAAGAUUUCCAAUGUGAUCUGCACGUUUUGGGGCUUUGACCAGCAUGUCAUCCACGUAGACCUCCAUAGUUUUGCCGAUCUGCUCCUUGAAGAUUUUAUUUACAAGCCUUUGAUAGGUUGCUCCGGCGUUCUUCAGCCCAAAGGGCAUGACCUUGUAGCAGUAGGUCCCUCUCUCGAUGAUGAAAGAAGUUUUCGCCUUGUCAUCCUCGUGCAUCAGGAUUUGGUUAUAGCCGGAGUAGGCGUCCAUGAAGCUGAGCAGCUGAUUGCCCGAAGUGGAAUCCACGAGUUGGUCGAUUCUCGGCAAUGGGAAGUUGUCUUUAAGGCAUGCCUUGUUGAGGUCUGUGUAAUCGACGCAAACUCUUCAUUUACCCUUUUCUUGUUUUGCCACCAAAACAACGUGGCAAGCCAUUCUGAGUAGGAGACCUCUUCGAUGAAGCCGGCAGCUAGGAGUUUGUCAAUCUCAGCUUCGAUGAUAGCGACUCGCUUGGGUGCGAAGUUGCAUCUCUUCUGCGCCAGUGGCUUGCAUGCGGGGUUGAUGUGGAGUCGGUGACAAAUGAUGUUCGGGUCAAUGCCAGGCAUGUCUGAUGGCGACCAUGCGAACAUGUCUUUGUUCCUCUGGAGGAAUGUGGUAAGCUCCACAUUUUCUUCUGGGCUUCAGCGCGAGCCGAUCUGCGCUUUCCUGUCUGGCUGGUCAAGAUCCAAGGGUAUUAACUCGACGUCCUCCUCGGGUUUCCAUCCUUCUUCCGGAAAGACCUCUGGACAGAUUUCCUCAGCUUGGCCCUGACGCUUUGAUUUCUAUAAGAUAGCAAGAUUCGGUUGCUCAACCUCCUCCAGAUCCGCCUGGCUCACAGGGAGAAACUACGCUUGUUUGCCUUUCUUCAGCCCUUGGGCGGAGCAUUUCCUCGCCAUUGCUUGAUCGCUGUUGAUUUGGCCGACACCUCCCGUAGGGAUUGGGUACCGAAUUUUCUGAUGUGUGGCGGAGGUGAUGGCAUUGAUCUUGCCAAUCCAUGGUCUGCCCAGGAUACCGUUGUAAGGUGAGACCUCAUUAAUGACCAUGAAUGUUUGCAAGCUGAUCACCAGUGGGGAGUAAACGUCGAGGUCUAUCGUGCCCACGGUAAUCGUUGUUGCACCAUUAAAACCAGUCAGCAAUCUGACUAACUUGUUGAUCUUUGUCUCCAAGCCCAUCUGUUGGAUGACCGCCAGUUGUAGGAUAUUGGCUGCGCUGCCCUCAUCUGCAUGGAUUCGGUCGACCAUGGCCUGAGCGAUUUGAAUGCUGAUGACAAGUGCGUCGUUAUGUGGCGUGUCGAGGCCGAUCAGAUCUUUCUUUUGGAAGCCGAUCACAGGAUCGUCUUCUGCUAGUGGAGGGUCGAUCGAGACUUGGGAGAUCACAGUGGCCUGUUUGAUCUUCCUCUUCUUUUCUUUGCUGGUCAGCCCAGACUCCUCGAAGUCGGCUAGGAUUGUGUUAAUCCUUAUGACCUUCUGAGGCGGCUCCUUGGCGGUGUCUCGAUCUUCAAUCCGUUGGAUGGCCUGCUUCGCAACGAAUUCAGUGCAGUGGCCUUCUCUCAUGAGUUCUUCAAGAUGCGCUUUCCAAGCGGAGCAGUUGUUCGUAGUGUGCUCGUGCGUUUCAUGGAUGGCAUAGUAUUUGCUAGUGUCCCUCUUGUCCGGAUCUCCCUUCAAAGGUGGUGGUCUUCUUACCCAAGGUUUGUUCUUCACUUGGGCCAAGAUUUGAUGUAUGGGGAUGGUGAACUUGGUGUAGUUCUCUCCUCCCGUAGCCUCCCCUUGUGGGUGCGACCUACGCUUGUCUUUGUUUCGGUUGUUAAAUCCGUCGCCUCUUUGACCUGCCCGCUUAGUUGGCUGAUCUUCCUGCUUUGUAGACUUCUUUGCGGCGAUUCGAUCGUCAUCCCAGAGCGCGUAGCGUUCCGCAGUCUCGUAGACCUCUGCCAGCGUCUGGCUGGGAGUGAUAGUUAGCUCGUGGUACAAGUCGUGCUCAGCUGGAAGGCCUUUCUUGAAAGUGGAGGACGCGAUUCGGUCGUCACAUCCUACAAUGUUUGCCUUUUCUGCCUUGAAUCUCUUGAUGUAACCUCGAAGGGAUUCGUCAGACUUCUUGCGCAGGUUGUACAGGUGGUCAAGGUUCUUCUUGAUUGUCCGGUAAGAGGUGUAUUCUUUGGUGAAGACGUAAGCUAGCUCCUUGAAGCUGCUGAUCGACCUGGAUGGUAGGGUGUGGAACCAGUCUUGGGCUGCUCCUCGCAAGGUUAUCGUAAAUACCUUGCACAUUAGCGCGCCGUCAGCCUGGUGGAGGAUUAUAACACUUUUGAAGUGUUUUAAGUGGCUCUCGGGAUCGGAAUCCCCUUUGAAGUGUAUGAACGAGGGUGUCGAGAAUUGCUUCGGGUGAGCGGCCUGCUCGAUAUCGAGGGUGAAAGGCGUAGAGCUCACCUGGUCCAUCUCCUUACGUAGUGAAUCCUCGAAGUUUCCUCCGGUCUUCAAGUCUCGAAGUCGGUCAUUCACGAGCUUCUCAACGUCUUCUGUGCACAUUGCUGGUCGGUUAUGUUGGCGACCUCCACGAUAUUGACUGACUUCCUCAUUGUCCUCCGAGGGUCGACCUUCUCGCCUGAGCUGCCUAGUUGAAGUGUUGGUGGACUGCGCCUGCGAAAGAUUCUCUAUAGCUUGUCGACGAGAAUUGGUUCUUCGAGAGUGAGUAACGGAGCGUCUUUCCUCAUGGUCCUCAUUGUGAGGGUUAUCCAACUGGCCUCCCUGGGGGCCUAGCCUUUUGAGAGCGCUUCUCUGUGAGUUGACAGCUGAGCGCCUUUCUUCGCGAUCCUCAUUGCGAUGGUUGUUUGGCUGACCUCCUUGGGGGCCUAGCCUUUGAUGUACAUUUCCCUAGGGGCCCAAGCGGGCGCGGACGUUGAGUCGUCUACCGGCGCGUUCGUCCAUCCUUCUCUCCUUGCCCGGUGGUCCAUGGCCAAGGUUCUGAGCAAAGCCUAUUUGGUUGAUGAGCUGCCUCAUUAGAUUGCUUUGGUCGUCCACUCUCUGAGCUAGCUGGUCAACUCUUAGAUUAAGGUCUGCUUGACUUCGUGGAUCGGGAGGAGAGAAGUGUGUGGAGCCCAACUGCACACGGGCUAGGUUUUCAUUGGAGGUGUAUGCAGGAGCGUGCGUUGCGCGUGGAGGCAAUGGAGGGAAUGCUUGGAGUUGCUCCAAGACCGGCCCUAGGUCGGCAGUGGUAACGAGUCCACCUUGAUGGGAAGUUCCGCCAGGUUCGACGGCGAUGGCCGGUGCUGUGGUGAGAGGUGGCGGUGCCACCAUGUCGAUCGCGGGAUCGUGGGUGGAGUGGCUUUGGGUCGUCGCGGAUCUAACCAUCGCGGCGGCUUUGCCUCUUGUGUUCAUGCUUCCAACCAUGGUUGUUUGGAAGGCUUCGGUGGAUUGAAAAAUAGGAGGAACGGAUUCCUUGAGCACGCAUUGAGUAUACCUCGUGCUCUCAAUGAAAGCACCAAUUUGAGGGAGCAAAUUUCCCCACGAGAAUAUUCGCCCAAGAUUCCUUCGUCUUCUCCGCCUCUCUUUCUCCCUGCAAAACAGAUCGGAGUAAAAGACCACACCCGGGGGGUGUUGGCCAAAGGCCCUCCGAUGCCUAAGUUAGGUAGGGUAAUUCAAGGAAAACCGGGUGGCCGGAGCCGUGUGUGGUGGCCGGAGCCUUGUGUAAGAGAGAGAAAGAGAGGAGGUGGCUAGGGUUUUUGAGAAAUAAUUUCUGCAGAGCUUUAGUAAGAAUUUAGGCGUACCUCAACCAUUGUGUGUGGCUAUGCUUUUAUAGUAGUCUCGAAGGCUAGGGUUUCAGAGGAAUAAUUCCGUAGAUGGAAGGGAAUUAUUCCUCCCCUUUUUGGAAUUGAUUUGAUUAAUUAGGGAUUUGAUUAAUUAGGGUAAAUCAAAUCCCUAAUUGUGGUAGGUAUCAAAUCAAAUCCUGAUUCAAUUAGGCAACUCCUCAUUUAAUUGGGGAUCGUGGUAAUUAACCAAAUCAAUUCUCAACCUAAUUAGGUAAUGUUCAAUUUAAUUGGGUAAUUCCCAAUUAAAUUGAGUAAUUCCCAAUUAAAUCGAGUAACUCCCAAUUAGGUUGAUUAAUUCCCAAUUGGGUCAAAUAAUCCCCAAAUGGUAGGAAUUAUUUGACCUAUGGUUUGAUUUAAUUAGGUUCCCACAGGAACCAUGUAAAAAGUUAUAUGGUAAGCAUUUUAAUCAAAUUCUUGUGCAAAUCUACUACCACUUGGGGAUUAAAUAUAUAACAAGAGCUACAAGAAGACAAUACUAUAAAGCAAACCAUAAGACAAGAAAGGAUAAUGAUUUCAAAUAGAUUGUACAUUGCUCCUGGAGAACAAUAAAGAAGUUUACAUAGGUUUAAAAGACAGAAUUUGACUGCCCUUGGGUGGGGGGAUGAUAUUUGGAACAAUGGUUCUAGGGAAUUCAUGAUAUUAUCACUUGUCUGCUUCAUAAAUUUCUAUGUUUCUGCUCAGCCUAGAAGCAGUUUCAGGAUUUGAGAAGGUUUGCUUUCACCACAAGAUGUGAGUUGAUUCCAUGGAUGAGCAGUGGUAGCCUCUUCUUCAUCCCAACUCAGUGAGUUCUGAAAUGAGGAUGCUUUGGAUAUAAUCAUAUCCAAAUUCUUUCAUCUUGGCUCAGUGAGCUCUGAAAUGAGGAUGGUUCGGAUAGAUUGGAUGACCGAUUCGUAUACACUCACACACUCAAGCGGGAAGUGAGAUCAAGGAAGGUGUUUUCACUGCAGGGGAUUGUGAUACCUCCCAUGGGAUGAUCAUAUCCGAAUUCUUCUUCAGCUUGACUCAGCAAAUCCAGGAAUAAAGGCUCAUUCAAAUAUGAUAUCGGAAUCACAAACCGCUUCUUCUGGCUCUCCCCAACAUAGACUGCAAGGUAGCCUUUUGGGAUAUCUAAAGUCUUUGAAUCUGCUGUCUGGCUUGAACUAGAUAGAGAUCGAAUGAGACUUCUCUUUGCAUUAACAAUUGCAGGCAACCGGAAACCCAUGAUCUUAUAUAUUCUCAAAGGACAAAAGAAGAGAGGGAAUUCAAAGGACUUGGAUUUGGAAAGCAGAGAAAGCUUUGGUGCUUGAGAAGGUGAAGACUUGAGUUGCUCAUGAUGAACUUGGUCAUGUGUAUAUAUAGAUCAAGGGUAUCCAGAAAAUCAACAGCUACAUGAAAUUAUUGGUCUGAGAUGGGCUCCAAUGAGGGACACUUGAUUGUGAGAAAUCACAUGGGCUUGUCGUCCUUCUCACGCAACACAUCCUCGAAAGAUUUCUCACGGAACUCUUCCCUACCUCCUCUAGGUAACAGACAACAAAAGGACCACUAGAGGUGAUUCAAUCCAAAAGACUUAUGUCUGUUAGGUAAGUAGCAUUUAUGCUUGAGACAUGCACUUCUCUUUGUUCACACUAAAUCAACUGACCACAUAAUUGGACUAUUAAACUACAAAGUUUCUUGAAUAGGUCUGCUAAUGAAUUGCCCUCUCACUUCAUCAAAAGACCAACAACACUGCAUAUGUUGUGGUCCUACCCAACACUAAUACAAUUGUGUUGUGUGGUGCUAAAUAGCUUGCUUGGGAGCAGCAAGGCACCCUACAUGUGGCUUUGUAGUUACGACUCUGAUCUUCAGUCUCAGCAAACAAAGGAGGUAUUUAUUUCAUUUUGUUAGGCCAAUCUGGACUUAACCAGAAAACACUAUUGAUUUAAAUAGUUGACAUUACUUGAUCAAGAAAACUGAAGUUAAUAAAUUGAACUUAAGCUACUCGGUCUAAACUCAAUUUUUAAAAAACCAUUUUCCAUUACAACUCUUGGUUUAACAAAACCAUUGCCAGUCUUGUUUUAGGCAAGUUCGGCGAAAAGCCUACUAGAGAAAUCUAGAAAAUUCUAGAGAGAAGGAGAAGCUAGGUUGAUAAUCUCUUCUUGCCUUUGCUUAUGGCAACAACUGAAGAAGCCAUGUAAACUUGGCUUGCACUCUCUAGCAUAGGGAAAGUCGUGCAUAUAUAUUGUGCCAUUUUUUUAUGAAAGAAACUUAGUUGUUCGGCUCAGUGUCUCUCUAUAUUAACUCAUGAUGACUCUCCUCCUUAUUAUUCUUUCAGUCCAUUGAGAGAUGUUAAGCAUACUGUGCUUAAUAUAUUAUUAAAUUAUCAGAUACAGUCAUUUUGGCCCCAUGGAUAAAGGAAGUACAAAGUAAACCAUUAUACUUUCAUUUUCUGAAAAAUAUGCUGUCAUUGAUGAUUUUAUUUUAUGACAGAGCUACAAGUACAAUGAAAAAUAAGACAAGAAAGUGGAUCAGGAUUUAAAUUUGCAUUCCAAUAUAUUUUCCUGGAGAGUAACAAAGGUUACACAUCAGAAGAUCAUAGCAUCCAACCCAAAUGUGGAGAGGCCCAAGAUCUUUUAUACUACAAUGCACGUCUUUAAGUUCCGUAUGUACUCUCAAGAACAAUAGUUCAAAAUUUCAAUCAUGAUUUUGGACUAAAGUUUUUCAACGUCCAUAGUAUCUUCGUUUGUCGGAUUCAUGAACUUUUUAACUUUAUGCUCAGAUCACAAGCAGCUUCAGGCUUACAGAUUGCUUCCUCUCAGCACAAGAUGUAAGUCGACUCAGUGGACGAUCAAGAAUAGCCUCUUUCUCAUCAUUACUCAGUGAGUUCUGGAAUGAGGAUGCUUAUACAUGAAUGAAUUUGGAUCAUAGUUUCUUUUCUUUGGUGUGCACUCAUACACUUAAGCGGGAAGUGAGAUGAAGGAAGGUGUCUUCACUGCAGGGGAUUGUGAUACCACCCAUGGGAUGAUCCUAUCCAAAUUCUUCUUCAGCUUGACUCAGCAAAUCCCGGAACAAAGGCUCAUUCAAAUAUGAUAUUGGAAUCAAAAACCGUUUCUUUUGGCUCUUCCCAACAUCGACUGCAAAAUAGCCUUUUGGGAUAUCUAAGGUCUUUGAAUCAUCUGUCUGACUUGAACUAGAUAGAGAUCGAAUGAGACUUCUCUUGGCGUUAACAAUUCCAGGCAACCGGAAACCCAUGAUUUAGUAUUCUCAAGAGGACAAGACAAGAGGAAAAAGAUUGGCAAGGAAUUGGAAAAAACAGAGAGAGCUUUGAUGCGUGGGAAGGAUAGGACUUGAGUAGCUCAUGAUGAACCGAUCAUAGUAUAUAUAUAGCUGAAAGGUAUGCAAAAAAAUCAUCAGGUACAUGGAAUGAUUUGUACCGAAAAGGAACUGAGAGGAGAAGCAAUGAGGACCACUAGCUGUACGAUAGUCAAAGUUUACACUAGCUGUUAUCAUUCUGAGUUUAUCUCUUUCUCAGAUUAGGAAGAGGUACUCUUCUAGAGCAUUUAGCUAGAGAGAAUGAAUAGGAGAAUAUGAAAAAUGCACUGUUCUAUUGAUUUCUGCAAAACUGCAGCUUACAAAGUGUGACUGCUAGGAGAGAAAUGUGAUUCUCUUCUAACAGAAUUACAGCUGUCAUCCUAUUAGAUUCUUACACCUGUCAUAGCAAAUCUAAGCUAGAGAAUCCACCUAGACUAUGAUCUAAUGGCUCUCCUUACAUCAUUUAAAUAAGCUGACCAAAAACAGAACAAAUAGAGAAUAGCUUCAGCUCUAAGAAAUCUGCUGCAGGAUUAUAUUUCAACACUCCCUUCUAAUCCUUUAGCUGAUUUCACACCAAGCAAGCUUCUCAGCCUCACAAACCGAUCCUUAGGUAGAGCUUUAGUCAAGAUGUCUGCUAUCUGAUCUUCUGUUUUGCAGUAUAUCAGUUCAAUUUCUUUUGCUUGAAUGGCUUCUCUGAUAAAAUGAAAUUUCCUGCUGAUGUGUCUUGUCUUUUGGUGAUGGACUGGAUUCCUUGCCAUUGCAAUUGCUGAGGUGUUAUCACAUAGAAUCUGAGUCCCUUCUAUCUGUUCUUCACCAAAAUCUUCAAGCACAAAUCUCAGCCACUUAGCUUGUGAAGUUGCUUCUGCAGCACUCACAUAUUCAGCUUCGGCUGUAGAUAGAGCAACUGUGUUUUGCUUGAUGGAAGCCCAAGAGAACAUGCCUGAGCCUAGUGUGAAGGCAUAUCCUGAGGUGCUCCUCAUAUCAUCUUACUCCCAGCCCAGUCACUGUCACAGUACCCAAUUAGAGUAGCUGUCUUCCCUUUUGCAAACUCAAUUCCAAAAUCCAAUGUGCCUUGAAUGUAUCUCAGCACCCUUUUAGCAGUUCCCAUGUGUUUCUUUGAGGGAUUGUGCAUAAAUCUAGCAAGCAAGCUAGAUGCAAACAUGACAUCUGGUCUUGUGGCAGUCAGAUAAAGGAGACUUCCUACAAUCUGUCUGAAUUCACUUUCAUCUGCUGCUUCACUCCCAUCUUCUCUACACAAUUUCUCAUUCACCACUAAUGGAAUUGCCACUGACUUGCAAUCUCUCAUUCCAAACUUCUCAAGAAUUUUCAUGGCAUAUUUCUUUUGAUGAAUGAAAAUAUGCUUGUCAGUUUGUUCCACUCCCAUGCCAAGAAAAUGAUGCAACAGACCCAAGUCUGUCAUCUCAUAGUGUUGCAUCAUAUCUUGUUUAAAUUCUUCAAGCAUUUUAGGACAGCUUCCAGUGUAUAUAAUGUCAUCUACAUAGAGGGAGACAAUGAUAAUACCUGAGGUGUCACUAGUUUUGAUAUAGAGAGUAGCUUCACUUAAGCUUUUCUUGAAACCUGCAGUGUUGAAAUAGGCAUCUAUUUCAUCAUACCAGGCCCUUGGGGCUUGCUUCAGUCCAUAUAGAGCCUUGUUCAACCUGAACACCUUGGUUUCCUUGCUCUCUUGAACAUAUCCUUGAGGUUGUUCAACAUAAACUUCCUCCUUUAGAAUGCCAUUGAGAAAAGCAGACUUCACAUCCAAUUGAAAUAAGUUCCAUUCCUUUUGUGCUGCAAGGGCUAUCAAAGUUCUGAUGGUGUCAAGUCUUGCCACGGGGGCAAAUGUCUCAUUAUAGUCGAUUCCAGGCUUCUGUGAGUAGCCUUUAGCCGCAAGCCUAGCUUUAUUCUUCUGCACAGUACCAUCUAGGUUCAGUUUGACCUUGUAGACCCACUUAACACCAAUUACUGGUUUGUUAGAUGGCCUGUCAACUAAUUUCCAAGUAUUGUUCUUCUCAAUCAUCUCCAAUUCAGCCUCCAUUGCACAUCUCCAUGAUUCAUCCAAAUCUGCUUCUUCAAAGCUGUCAGGUUCUACAAUGCACAUAUUGCAUUGUGCCAUGAUGUCAUUAAUACUCCUCCACUUGUGAGGUGUGUGAUCAAACCUUUGAGUCUCAUCAAGCAUUUCUUCCCCUUGAGGUGCAAUUUCUUCUUCCAUCUACAUUUGAGUAUCCAAGAACUGAGAGUGAUCAUCUAAUACCCUCUGUUCAGUUUCUGCAGUAUCUUGAUUUCCAUCUGGCAUAGGUAUUCCCACAUCUGCAUUGCUAGGAUUCUCCCAUUUCCAUGAGGCUUCUUCAUCAAAAUAGACAUCCCUAGACAAGAUAAUCUUUCUUGUCUUAGGAUCAUACAGUCUAUAGCCUUUUUCACACAAUCCAUAGCCCACAAAAAUGCAUUUGUGACUGUUUUCUUCCAACUUGUGUCUCAAAACAGAAGGAAUAAGCACAUAACAUAGGCAUCCAAACACUUUCAAGUGUGCAAUACCUGGCUUUCUUCCUGUGUAGGCCUCAAAUGGUGUCAUUUUCUCAAGAGAUUUAGAAGGACAUCUGUUGAGAAGGUAGACUGCUGUAUGAACAGCUUCUGCCCAAAACUCAUAAGGAAGAUUCUUUUCAUGUAGCAUAGACUUUGCCAUCUCAAUUACUGUCCUGUUCUUCCUCUCAGCAACUCCAUUUUGCUGAGGAGAAUAUGCCACUGUCAGCUGCCUUUGUAUUCCAGCCUCACUGCAGUAUGCAAGGAAUUCAUUUGACAUGAAUUCUCCACCUCUAUCACUUCUAAGUGACUUCACUUUGUGUCCACUCUGCAAUUCUGUCAUUGCUUUGAACUUCUUGAAACAUUCAAAAGCAUUAGAUUUAUUUCUGAGAAAAUAAACCCAAGCCAUUCUUGUAUGGUCAUCAAUGAAUAAUAGGAAAUAUCUGUUUUCUGACAUUGAUGCAGUCUGCAUUGGACCACAGAUGUCAGUGUGAACUAAUUCUAGUGGAGACUGAGCUCUCCAAGUAGAUUUUGCAGGAAAUGAGUCUCUAUGCUGCUUUCCCAACUUGCAGCCUUCACACACUGCUAAGUCCUUCUCCAGACUAGGCAGUCCAUGAACCAUGUCUUGAUUUGCUAGCAUCUUGAUGCUUUGAUCAUUAAGAUGACCCAGCCUUUUAUGCCAAGUCUGCAAACUGUGAGUCACACUUGCUCUCAGCACCAACUGAGUAGCAGGUACCAUUGUGAGAGAGAAACUGUCACACCCCGGACCGGCUCCGCCGUAGCACGAUAUUGUCCGCUUUGGGCCCCCCUCUCUGCCCUCACGGUUUUGUUUUUGGGAGCUCACGAAGCAACUUCCCAGGGUGGUCACCCAUCCUGGGAUUGCUCCAGCCUCCCACUCGCUUAACUUUGGAGUUCUUACAACUCUGAAGCCAGUGAGCUCCCAAAAGGCCUCGUGCUACGGCGGAGCCGGUCCGGGGUGUGACAAUUUGGUAUCAGAGCCACUCUGCCGUGUGGUGCGAGUGUGCCGACGAGGACGUCGGGCCCUUAAGGGGGGUGGAUUGUAAGAUCCCACAUCAAACCAACGGAGAGGGGGGUGAUGUGCCUUAUAUGGCACACCCGCAUCCAUCUAGCACGAGGCCUUUUGGGAGCUCACUGGCUUCGGAGUGGUAGGAACUCCGAAGUUAAGCGAGUUGGAGGCUAGAGCAAUCCUAGGAUGGGUGACCCACUGGGAAGUUGCUCGUGAGUUCCCAGAAACAAAACCGUGAGGGCCAGAGAGGGGGGGCCCAAAGCGGACAAUAUCGUGCUACGGCGGAGCCGAUCUCGGGAUGUGACAGAAACACCUAUUGCUAGUCAUUGGAACCUUAGCUAUAGGGUUUUGCAGUGACCAAUCAUCAAAAAUUGUCACCAUUCCCUUUCCAAAUACUAAACAAUACCCAUGUUCCAUCAUCUGACCAACACUUAGCAAGUUCUCUUCUAAACCAGGCACCAACAUCACUUCUUGAAUGUGUUUUCUGCCUGAUUUGGUUUCUAUCACAAGAGUACCUUUUCCUGCAACUUGAACUGUCUCUCCAGUCCCCAUUUUCACCUUGGAAGUUACAUUCCUUCGAAUGUCUAUCAGUAGCCUUUCAUCUCCAAUCAUAUGGUUGCUACAGCCACUGUCCACAUACCAAGAGUUGCUCAUUUUCACAUCUGUCACAGCAUUGCAUGCAUAAAACAAUGUUCCAGUUUCUUCAACCUGAUUGGCAUAGUUCACCUUUUGCACAGAUUGAUUGUCAUGACAAUUUCUAACCAUGUGACCAAACUUUCCACAUCCUCUGCAUUUUGGUUUUCCUUCAAACCAGCACUUGCCAUAGUGCAGUUUUUCACAGUGCUUGCAGGGUGUUUUAGUUCCAUCAUUUGAUGCAUUUGGUUUGGUAUUUGAAUUGGACUUGUUAUUCCAAUUCUUCCUAUUUUCCUUCCAGUUCUUCUGAGACUUGUUACAUCCAGAAGAACUUCCAUUCUUAGAGCUUUUACUCUCAAUGUUCAGACUAGUGAAAGCCUUUUCUGUUGAAUUUUCAUUGUGCCUGUCUAAUCUGAGCUCAAAGUUCUUGAGAGAUGCAACCACUUCUUGAAUUUCAAGAGUGUCAAGAUCCUUUGAAUGCUCAAUCACAGAACAUAUAGAAUCAUAAGAUCUAGGCAAACUAAUAAGCAAUUUCUGCACAACUCUUUCUCUAGGUAACUCUUCACCAUAAUUCUUCAUUUGAUUUAUCAGAUCAAACAGUUUAGCAGCAUAAACAGAAAAUGAUUCACUAUCCUUCAUACGAGUGUAUUCAAACUCUCUACGUAAGCCUUGUAGUUUCACACUUCUUACCUGUUUAUCACCUCUAAACUCCUGCUUCAGGAUAUCCCAUGCACCUUUUGAGGUUUCUUCAUUCACUAUUCUGGGAAAAAUUUGGUCUGAGACUGCACCUUGGAUCAGUCCAAGUGCACGAGCAUCUUUCAUCAAGGUCUCAGCUGAUACAGAUUUCUCUUCUUCAGCAGCUUUAGAUCCCUCUUCCUUUCCUUCUUCCUUCGUUGGAUCUGAAGCAUCAAAGCCAUUUUCAACUAAAUCCCACAGUCCAUGAGAUUUCAGAAUGGUCUUCAAUCGAAUGCUCCAAAACUUAUAGUUUUCUCCAUUGAAUACUGGUGUACGAAGCUCAGAAGAGCUUGAUCCUGCCAUAUUAGACAUCAGACGCAGCUAGACAAGCUUCGUGAAGUUUUGAGUGAGCUCAAUCGUCAGCUCAGCCAAGCACCAGCUCCUUCUUCACAGAUUCACGCCCAAUAAACAAUCAAAACCUGGCUCUGAGGCCAUGUUAUCAUUCUGAGUUUAUCUCUUUCUCAGAUUAGGAAGAGGUACUCUUCUAGAGCAUUUAGCUAGAGAGAAUGAAUAGGAGAAUAUGAAAAAUGCACUGUUCUAUUGAUUUCUGCAAAACUGCAGCUUACAAAGUGUGACUGCUAGCACUACUACAAAAAGUGAAAAAGACGACCAGAAAACAACGACGGUCUAAGUGAAAACCGUCGUGGUUUUUAAAAAGACGACGGUUCUAAAAACACCGUCGUGUAAUACAACCUUAGACAACUAAAAAAUGGAGAUUCAAAUGGCUGUUCAAAAACAACGACGUACAUAAUUAAACAACCGACGUCUAUUUGAAACAGAUUUCCGCAGUGUAAAAUCAAUGCCAACAAAGAACAGCAGAAGUUAUGAAUCGACCGACGUAGAAAGUAAAGACGACGAUUUCAAUAAAAACCGCCAUUUUUACUCAUAAAAUAACACGACGAGGUUUUCGUAUAAGACGCCGUAUAAUUACAAACAAAUCCAUGGCUUUAAAAUACAAAAUAUCGCCGUAUUAAAUUAAUGUACAACGACGGAAAAUAUAAAUAUAUGGACGUCAUUCUCGUAUAGUUCUACGACGUUAUCUUUAAAUCGUACAAUAAAAUUUAACAUCGUAUUUAUUCAUUUUAUACGUCGUACAUGUCGUCUUAAUAAGAAUUUUUGUUAACAAUUUUUUUCUUUGAUUUUCUUAUCCUACGUCGGUAGAUCUACUUAAUGACAAGAAUUGAAAUAACCACGACGGUUUAUAUAGAAAACCGCCAACAUAAUCAGAUUUGUCUGAGAUCCCAAGGGUUACGAAAUCUUACCAGAUGGAACUCUGUUCCACAUCAUAAUCUUAACAGAUGACACUGAUUUGCAUUCAGAGAGACAAUUUUUUGGAAGUUGAUGAUGUGUGUGCGUUUGUGUAUCUACAAAUAUUAUACCUAACGUCGUUGCAAAUUUGCAAUCAGAGAGACAAUUUUCAACGACGGUUAUAUUAUACCUAACGACGUUUAAAAAACAAAUCAACGUCGCUAAACAAAUAUAUUAUGUCGUCUUAGUCUUACUUAAGACGACGAAAAACGACGACAGUAAUAAAAAACAGUCGUUGUUUUUAUAUUCUUAUUUUAUUUAAAUCUGUCCUCCAAAAAAGAAACUUUACAUAUUCCAGAACAUUAAUUUCCUUCAUUUUAAAUUUCCCCCGGAAAAAAAAACUCUAUUUAUAACGCACUGUAAUUGAAAAAUAAACUGAAAGGUCACGGGAAAAAAAAUUCUAUUCAUAAUUUAAAAAUUCAAAUCCACGUCGGUUAUAUUAAACAUAACGACGUUAAAUGAAAAGAUUCCACGUCGCAAAACAAAUAUUGCGUCGUGUUAGUUAAAAACGACGGCAUAACAAAAAACCGUCGUUGUUUCAAACUGAAUUAAUUUAUUCGGGAAAGCAAAAUCUAUUUAUAAUUUCCUCGGGUUAGUAAUAUUGCGUCGUGUUAGUUUACAAAUUCAAGAACAUUAAUUUCCCUCAUUUUAAAUUUCCUCGGGAAAGAAAAAUCUAUUUAUCACGCUUUGUAAUUGAAAACUAAAACUGAAAGAAUUCGGGAAAAAAAACUCUAUUUAUAAUUUAAAAAUAAAAUCCACGUCGGUUGUAGUACACUUAACGACGUUUAACAAAAUAAUCUACGUCGGUAAUUAUAAAUCUACCGCCAUCUUACCUUAAUAUAGACGACGAGAAAAGACGACGGUAGAACAGAAAACCGCCGUUGUUUCAGUUUCUUUAACAGUUUGGUCCUUUAUCUUUCUGCAGGACUUGUAUAGUUCAAAGCAUUGACAAUGUCUUCAUCAUAUCUCCCAGCAACUACUGAUUCGAUUGCUCAUGCUUUAGAGGCCAUCUGAAGCCAUUUCUAUUCUUUAUCGCAUUCUUGAAACCCAUCUUCUUCUUCUGAAGCUCUACGGAUAAAGGAAGAGGCUAUCACAAAUCUGACGGAUCUUCUUAGCCAAGAAAAUCAAGCAGAUUUCCCUGAGAAGCGAACUUUCCUUCGACAGCGAGUGGAGGCCAGGCUUGCAUCUCUUUUGAUGGAAAGCAAGGAGUAUUCAGAAGCACUAAGUGUCCUAUCAGGCUUGAUCAAGGAAGUGAGAAGGCUAGUUGACAAGCUUCUUCUUGUGGACAUAUAUUUGAUGCGAGUAAGCUCAAUUUCUCUUUGAGAAAGACAUCCAAAUUAUUGUCUUUGAGACGUGAGAGACUGAGAGAGGAAGAACUUGGAACCGUAAAUGUAAACCGAAAAUGAAUGAAAGCGACAAAUUUAUAGAAUAAAUUUUUAAAACCAACGGCGGUCCUUACAAAAAAACCGCCGUUUAAAUUGUAAAAUCAACGUCGGUAUGAUCGACGUAUAUUACAGAAAUCCACGUCGGUACAUUAAUAAAAACGACGUGUUAAAUAAUCUACCAUGACGCGAGUUAUUACUUAUGUACUUUAAUUUUUGAGUUUACUACGAUGGUACCUACAACACUACUGUCGUAUUUAUUUACCACGUCCGAAGUUAAAUGUACCGUCGUAUUUUGUAAUUUAUACGUCGUAGUUAUAUAUAACCGCCAUAUUAUUUUUUUGAAAUGGUUUUAUAUGUAAGCAACUUUUCGUCUACCUGACAUACACAUGCGCUGUUUCCAAACCCGAUUAAAAAUUUCAAUCUCCCAGAGAAAACUUUUAGACUUUUUUCCUUGUCAGAGCACUGUCAGAGUAUCUCAUCGUCUUCCUCUCGUCUUCUUCGUCGUCUCUGAACUUAAACAUAAUCUUCCUCUUGCUUUCAUUAUACGCAAAAGGUAAGCUUUCAUUUUCACUAUUUUGGUUGCUGUUUUGCAUGCUCAUACGUUUUUUGUUUGAAAAAUCUUUUUACCUUUUUUCUGGCCAAAAUCAUUUUACUUCUUUCCAAGUUCGAUAAAAUAUACAGACAAAGAGGGAAAGUUUCCAACUUUGAAGACAACUACCUCAACUAAAUAAGACGACGGUAGCUUCUUAUUUACGUGGUUAAAUAUGUAGACCACGACGGUUCGUCAGUCGUUCUAGCGUCGUCUGAAAAUUGACAAAGUUGUUUUUAAAAUUAUAGUCUUUUUUUUAUUUGCUUGUUUAAUUGCAGGUUUGAUUUCUCUGAACAAUGGUUUUUGUUUUUCCCUAAUUUGAUAAAAUAUAAAGAAAAAGAAAGUAGGGUUGGUAUCUAAUAUAGACGACAGUAUCUUAUUGUUUUACGUCGUGUGAAUGUUAAUACCACGACGUCAUAUUAAAAUACCGUCGUCUAUAUAAGAUUCCAAAACUUUCUUUCUUGGCCUUGUAUUUUAUCAAAUUAGAAAACAAAAACCAUGGUUCAGAAAAAUCAAAUCUGCAAUCAAACAUUCACAGAGAAAGAAAGAAGGGUUUUGGAUCCUUAUAUAGACGACGGUAUAUUACUACUGACGUCGUGUAAACAUCAAUACCACGACGUUAUAUAAAUAUUUCGUCGUUUAUAGUUAAUUAUCACGUCGUUUAUAGUUAAUUAUUUCGUUGUUGUUUAAUUACCUUGGUUUUAAACAUUUAUUACGUCUGAGAUUAUUUCAUUGCGUCGUUUAAAAUCAUAUCAUACGUCGUAUUUUAUUAAUAACCGUCGUUUGUGUUCUUAAUCUUUUCCUGAAAUAUUUUCACUUGCAGUUUUGUCUGUAAAAAUGGUUUCUCACCAAGACCAAAGUAAGGAUUCUGGCUCCAAGAAAAAUGGAGGUAAGGAGCUUGGAAUGGUACCUCCUCAAGUGAAGCCUUCGAAGAAGAUGAAGUUUGCUCCAUCAUCUGCUGAGACAGAACCAACCAGCACGACAACAAUCUCUGAUGAUUCAAAGUCUGGUCGAGGUAUGAGCACAAUGCCUCGUGUUGUGAAGAGAAAACUUCAGAAACUGAGGCCAAUUGUUGAGUACAAUAAAAGGGGGAAAGGAAUUGGCCAAGCACAUAGUGAGAUGCAGUCCUACAUUGGUGUGUUGGCACGCUCCAGAGUUCCACUUGUGGACAUGAAAUGGGCUCAAAUCCCCAAGGAUAUAAAGGAGCAGAUUUGGGAAGCAGUUGACAUUGCUUUUGUGGUAGGUCAAGGGGGCAAGAGCUCUGUGUUAGCUUCUGCUGUCAAGAAAUAGAAGGAUUUCAAGUCUACACUAACGAGGCAUUAUAUCCUUCCAUACACCAAUGACAGGGAGAGAUUAAGCCAACCCCCUGAAACAUAUAAAUUCAUAGAGAAAGCACAAUGGGAUGCCUUUGUAGCUUCAAGGUUAUCCAAAGAUUUUGAGUCUGUGCAUUCUCAACAUGCACAGAUUAGGGAGAAACUUGAGUACAAUCAUCGAUUGUCUCGAAAAGGAUAUGCUGGUUUGGAGGAUCAAUUGGAGGAAACCAUGCCUGGGGUAGAAAUUGGUCGAUCUACCUUAUGGAAGAGAGCUAGACAGGACAAACAUGGUAACAUCCCGGAUCCAAAGGUGGCAGAGAAAGCAAAAUUAAUUGUAAGCCUACUCACUCUGUUUUAAAUUUUUAUUCAACUGUGAAUAAUUCUUAUUACGUCUUAUGUUAUAUUUUGCGUCGUGUGAAUGAUAUUACCACGUCGAAAUUUUUUAAACAACGUCGUUAAAGGUCUAAAUAGGAAUCACUACUCUGUUUUCUGUAAUUAUAGCAUAAGAUGUCGGUGGUUCAUUUUCGCGUCGUUUGUAUUGAAUUACUACGUCGAAAUGUUUUAAACAAGGUCGUUAAAGGUGUGAAUAUUGAAUCAUCCCUCUGUUAUCUGUAAAUAAAGCAUAAGACGUCGGAGGUUUAUUCAUUUCGUCGUUUUAAAAACUAACCACGUCGGUAUAACUACCGUCGUGAUAAAUUAUAAUAACGUCGAUUUAUAUGUUAUUGCGUCGUGUGAAAUUAUAUAAUACGUCGUUUGUAUAUAAAUAACCGUCGUGUGUUUUUGUUCUUACUUUUUUAUAUAUCUUUGUUUUAGGAUGAAUUGCAAAAACAAGUCUCGGAAGGCAAAGUCACUGUUUCUGGCAGCAAUGAUGUGCUGACCAUGGCUUUGGGCCCCGAGCAUCCAGGCAGAGUGAGAGGAGUAGGUGCUGGGAUCUCACCAAGGCAAUAUUUCAAUUUACCCAAACCACAGAGAGUGAGCUUUGACGACCGUUUGAAUGACAGUUUAAGAGUUCUCCUUCAAGAAGAGACUAAAAAGAUGGAAGCUAAGGCAAGGGAAGAGGCUUUAAGGAUGGAGGCUAGAACGAAACAAUUGGUAGAGGCUGAGAGGGAGCAUUUCCUGAGUCAGCUUUCCCAAUUAAUUCCCAAUUUUGAUCCAAGCAUGCUUAAACCCAGAAUUAGCCAAAGUCCCAAAAAUCCAAUGUCUGACAAAACAAGCUGCUCUGGAGGUGAUGUGAGAUCCCAGCAUUUUGAGGAUGAUACUGCCAAAAAUGGGAAACAUCAGGAAGAAAAGGUAACAUAUCUGAACUUUGAAUUCUCUGUUUUUUUAAAAACCAUUAGACGUCGUUAUUAUUAAUAAAACCGUCGUUUGAAAUACAUACCACGACGAUUUUAAAAAUAAGUCGUCGUUUGUAUUUCAAUACCACGUCGUAUUUAGUUUACUUGUUUUACACGCCAUUAAACGUCGUUAUUUUUAAAACUUUGUGGUUUUUAGACGACGGAGUUAGUCAUUCCCGCCGUAAUAGAUGAAGAGAAGAGAGAAGAAAAACAAGAUGAAAAGGAGAAAGAAGAUGACGACCAGGUAUGUUCACAUAACUUUGCCUUUUUUAUUUGUUUUUCAAAAUUCCAGACGUCGAUAUUUUUCUUUAAACCGUCGUUUGUUUACAACUUAGACGGCGGAAUUUUUUUCUAAGACGUAAUAAAUUAUUCACCACGACGGUUUCUUCACCGUCGUUUAAAUUCUUUUCAGACGACGUUGUAUUCCUUAAACCGUCGUUUUUAUUGAAUUACCACGUCAUUUUUUUUAUUUCUUUAAACAGGUUAUUCAAGGUGUUGAUUAUUCAAAUAUGGAGGCGCCAUCUUCUUUAAAAUCCCUUUGUCGUUAUGUGGAAACGACACUCGUGCCUCAGGAUAAGACCCUGCACUUUACAAUUGAUAAGGAGGUGUUUGGUCUAGAGCGCGAUACCUUCCUCCUGCCUGAAGAUAUUACACAAUUUGCAGGCAUGGAAGAAAUAGGAGCCACUGUCAUUGCUGUAUAUAUGAGGUUUGUCAUUCUAAAAUAAUACGUCGUUGGUUUAUUUAUUGCGUCGUCUUAACCAACUAACCGCGUCGUUAGUAUGUACCGUCGUGAUAAAUAUAUUAUAACGUCGUUGUCUAUUUCAGUACGUCGUGUGAAAUUUUAUAAUACGUCGUUUUGUUAUACAUAACCGUCGUGUGUUUUAUGUAUAUAUGAGGUUUGUCAUUCUAAAAUAAUACGUCGUUGGUUUAUUUAUUGCGUCGUCUUAACUAACUAACCACGUCGGUAGUAUGUACCGUCGUGAUAAAUAUAUUAUAACGUCGUUGUCUAUUCCAGUACGUCGUGUGAAAUUUUAUAAUACGUCGUUUUGUUAUACAUAACCGUCGUGUGUUUUUUUGUGCUGACUUGUUUAUAUUAUUUUAUAUAUCUAGGUACUUACACGAUGUUUUGAAACGAGCAAAUAUGUGCUCCAUGGUUGGCUUUAUCGACCCUGCUACAGUUAGUGCCAGCUCUGGCACAAUAGCUGACAGAUCACGCCUACUAGCAGCUCGACUUCAGAGGACUGACGGUGAACAGAUUUUCCUGAUGCCUUACAAUCCAGGGUUAGUCUCCUUAACAGGAUUUUGAUUUUAUGAUUUUCAAUAAAUGACAGCGUAUAAACUAACCACGUCGGUGUUUUAUUUUAUUGAGUCGUUGCAAAACUACUAACCACGUCGGUAGUUAUUUAUCGUCGUGAUAAAUUUAUAAUGUCGUCGAUUGCUUCUUUAUUUCGUCGUGUGAAAUAUUAUAAUACGUCGUUUUUGUAAAUAACCGUCGUUUUAUAUUAAUUUUGUGCAGCCGUCAUUGGAUCUUGCUGAUUGUAAGAGCAAAGAGAGAAACCGUCUAUUUUCUGGAUUCUCUGCCAGGAAAUCGUGUGGUCGAUGAAGAGGCCAAAAACAUUGUGAACAGUGCUAUAAAAAUUUAUAACUCUCACAUAGCUAGACCAGGCCGUAAGGCAGUCAUUUGGAAAACUCUGUCAGGCACACCAAAGCAACCCAGCAGUGUCGAAUGCGGGUAUUAUGUGAUGCACUUCAUGAGGGACAUCAUCAUGGAUCCUUCCUUGGGGUUUGAGAAGAAGGUAAGAAGAAAUUACCUUCAUACAUUUUACGUCGUUUUAUGUAUUAUCAACGACGGUCAUGUAAAAUUACCGUCGUUGAAUAGAUAGUACGUCGGUUAUGAAAAAUAUCGUCGUCUGUGAUUUAAUUUCUUUUUAUUUAUAAACCCUAAUAGUCAUUGUUUAUGUAGUAUGCCAAGGGAAAACAGGAAGCGCCAUACCCCCAAGAAGCAAUUGAUGAAGUCUGGAAUGAAUGUGCAGAGUUUGUUUGCCUUCACCUGGAAUAGGGGAAUUAUUGAACGCUUGAUAUUUAUGUAUAAUGUACAAAUUUUGUCUAUAAUAUAUAAUGUAAAAAUUUGUUGAGGUUUUCUUAAAUUAAAAAAAAAAACAAACAUACAAAUUGCGUAAACGACGUGUAAUACUUUUCCAACGACGUAAUAAAGUCAAAAGCCGUCGUUUUUUGUUGUUUCGUUUUAAACAAAUCCGACGUAAAAGGAUAUUUAGACGACGUUCUUUGAACAAUUGAGUCGUUUAUGGUUUACAACGUCUUCAAUUUCUUAAGGGUUCAGGGUAGUACUUUGUAACGACAGCGGUUAAGUCGUGGAAUAUAUAUUUUAUGUCGGAUAGUUAAAUAUCCGCCAUGGUUUCUCAUUUAAACGACGUCAUUUUAACAACUUAGUCGUCUAUUACAAUUUACAACGUCUACAAUUUAUUAACACCGACGUGGUUUGUUGUUGUGAUAAGAAUAUUUUAUUAUUUUUAUAUCAAAAUAUUCAAAAUAAAUUUAAAAUAAAUCAGAAAAAUGCAAAGUCAACUCCUAUGAAGUCAUUGAUAUAUUUUCUUCCCCUAAACCUUGAAAAAAUUCAUUUUGAAUAACAAAAAUUUAAAAUGGCCAUCCAAAACAAAAUUAUUUUGAUGAGUCAUAAAAUCACUUCUAGUUUUAUGGUUUAGGGUUUAGAGUCUAGGGUUUAGAGAUUAGGGUUGUUAUUUAUUGGGGUUUAUUUUUAAAGUAUAAUUUUUGGGUAGUCUAGGGUAUAUAUUAGGCUGUAAAACCAUAAACCCUUUUAUAAACUUAAUUUUUAAAAUUAUAUAAUUUAGUUUUAAGGGUUUAGGGUAUUAAUUGUUAACGACGGUGGUUGAGUCGUGGAAUACAUAUGUUACGUCGUGCAGUAAAAUAUCCGACAUGGUUUCCACUUUAAACGACGUCAUUUUAAUAUGUAAGUCGUCUAUUAUAAUUUACAACGUUUUCAGUUUCUUAACUUCGACGUGGUUUUUCAGUCGUCUUUAUAUCAAAAUAUUCAAAAUAAAUUUAAAAUUAAUUCGAAAAAUGAAGCGUCAAAAGAAACGGCGUUACGUUCAGUGUUUCCGUCGUGGAAUAUUACAUUUACGUCGGUUCUUGUAGAACUUUCGCCAUGGUUUUUCUUUCGACGUUUUAAAGAACGCGCGCUCUAAAAAUUUUCGCGCGCCCUAAAUUUUUUUAUAUUUGGCUCUUAUUCUUAUACUUCUAACCCUGAACCCUAAAAUUUUCAGAUUUCGCGCAACAUAACAUUCGCUCUCUCACUUCUGCUCUAAUUAAAAGUUGCACUCUCCAGGCUCCGUCGAAUCUGUAAGCUCGUCCAACCUGUAAGUACAAACCCUAUCUUCCCCUUGUAAAUUCAUUGAAUGAUAUUAGGUUGUUUUGUUAAAUGGUUUUAGGUAUAUGCUUUGCGAUCUGUUAAUAAUGUGCUUAUAGGUAUGGGUUCAUGGAUUUUCUGUUUAAUGGGUUCAUGGAUUUUCUGUUUAAUGGGUUCAUGGAUUACAUUAUCUGUUAUGUUGAAUUGGGAAUGGAUUUAAUUUUGUCGGAUCUUUUAAUCACCCUAUGUUAUGUUGAAUUGGGAAUGGAUUUAUUGUUUUCAUGCUUGGUUUCAUGUAUAUGUUGGUUUCUUGCUUGGUUUCAUAUAUAUGUUGUGUUCUUAAUGGGUUUUGGGUUCUUGAAAAUAAACUGAGACACGACGCCUUUUUAGGCAUACGACGACGAUUACACGACGGUUUAUGAAAAAACUGUCGUUGUAUUACUUAUACACGACGGUUUUUUCAUAAACCGUCGUUUGUAUUACUUAUAUUAGACGACGUCUGUUGAAAAUCCGUCAUCUAUAUAUGCCAAAUACGUCUGUUUUUGUUUAAAACUCGUCGUCUCUGUUGUGUAUUACUUGCUAUUAGAUCUUUGUAUAAUCUGCUAUAGUGAUGGUCAUUGCCUGUAUUUUCACUUUAUUAUAGAUAAUAGGUUAUAGUGUCGGAGAUGGAUAAGUCAUGGAUGCACUCGAAUAGAAGAUCGAAGGCAUAUGAGUUUGGGGUGGAAGCAUUUUUGAACUUUGCUGUAGAAAAUCUUCUAACUACAACACAUAUCCGUUGUCCAUGUGUUAAAUGUGUUAAUUUGAAGUUGUUUGGGGUUGGAAUUAUAAGGGAUCACUUAUACUUUAAUGGAAUUGACCAAAGCUAUAAGAAUUGGACAUUUCACGGAGAACCUUGGGAAGCAACUACUAAUGCUAGUAGAAAUGUUGAAGAAGAUGAUGGCCAUAGUAGGUACAGUUUUGUGUCUGAAGAAAUUGAUAUGGAUGAUAAUGAUUUUGGUGAUUUUGGUUCUGAUCCGUAUGAGUUUGCCAAUGUGAUUGGGGAUGGAGAUCAACCAGUGUACCCUGGUUGUAGAAAGUACACGAAGUUAUCGGCAUUAGUGAAGUUGUAUAAUUUGAAGGCAAAACAUGGGAUGAGUGAUGUCUGUUUUACAGAAUUAUUGAUACUUCAAGGCGAUUUGCUUCCAGAAGGAAAUACAAUACCAACCUCUAUGUAUGAGGCUAAAAAGACUUUGUGUGCAUUGGGGCUGAGUUAUGAGAAAAUGCACGCAUGCCCCAAUGAUUGCAUCUUGUAUAGGAAGGAGUAUGAGGAUUCAACUAAUUGUCUUACUUGUGGUAUCUCAAGGUGGAAGGAAGGCAAAGAUUCAAUCUUGAAAGAGGGUGUGCCAGCGAAGGUGGUGUGGUAUUUUCCUCCAAUUCCAAGGUUUAAAAGGAUAUUUCAAUCACAUGAGACAGCUAAGAGUUUGACUUGGCAUGCUGCUAGAAAAUCAAUUGACGGUCAGAUGUCUCAUCCGGCGGAUUCCCCGUCUUAGAAACUUCUUGAUGAUAAAUGGCCUGAGUUUGGUAAUGAGCCGAGAAACUUGAGAUUGGCUCUUUCAUCUGAUGGAUUCAAUCCCCACAGUUCUCUAAGUAGCAGAUAUAGUUGUUGGCCGGUUAUCUUAGUUACAUAUAAUCUCCCUCCAUGGCUGUGCAUGAAACGAAAGUUCAUGAUGUUAACCUUAUUGAUUUCCGGUCCUAAACAACCCAGAAAUGAUAUAGACGUCUACUUGGAGCCUUUGAUUGAUGAUUUAAAAUCUUUGUGGGAUGGGAUUAGAGGAGUGUAUGAUGCACAUAAUGGAGAAUACUUUACACUCAGAGCUGCAUUAAUGUGGACAAUUAAUGAUUUCCCCGCCUAUGGAAACUUAUCUGGUUGUGUUGUUAAAGGAUAUAAAGCUUGUCCAAUAUGCGGCGAUGAUACACCUAGUCACAGGUUGAAAAAUGGCCACAAAAUUUGUUACAUUGGGCAUAGAAAAUGGUUACCAAUCAAUCAUCCAUAUAGGAGGCAACGUGCAGCUUUUAAUGGGAAACCUGAAUAUGGCAUACCUCCCGAGCCAUUAACCGGAGAAGAAGUGCUGCAUAUGGUUGAAAAUGGUGACAGAGUUUGUUGGAAGAAGAACUCAAUAUUCUUUGAUCUCGAGUAUUGGAAAUACCUUCCUAUGAGGCAUGCCCUAGAUGUUAUGCACAUUGAGAAGAAUGUUUGGGAUAGUAUUAUUGGUACAUUGCUGGAGAUCCCUGGAAAAAAUAAAGAUGGGAUUGCUGCUCGAUUAGAUUUAUUGAACAUGGGGGUCAAAACUGAUUUGCAACCCGAGUAUGGAGAAAGACGUACUCGUUUGCCUCCUGGGCCUUGGAAUUUGUCAAGAGCAGAGAAGAGAGAGGUUUGCAAUUCUUUCUAUGGUAUGAAGGUCCCUGAAGGUUAUUCUUCAAAUAUUAAAAAUCUUGUAUCUUUACAAGAUUCAAGACUUCUUGGCCUUAAAUCACAUGAUUGUCAUACCUUAAUGCAACAAUUGCUCCCUGUGGCAAUUCGUUCUGUUUUGGAGAAGCCUGCCAGGUAUGCAAUAACUCGUUUGUGCUUCUUCUUCAAUGCUAUAUGUGCAAAGACUGUUGAUGUUUCCAAGCUAGAUAAGUUGGAAGAAGAUGUAGUAGUUACUCUGUGUUUGCUUGAGAAGUACUUUCCCCCUUCAUUCUUUGAUAUCGUGGUUCAUCUAGUAGUACAUCUUGUCAGAGAAGUUCGUCUAUAUGAGCCAGUAUAUUUUAGGUGGAUGUAUCCGUUUGAAAGAUAUAUGAAAGUUCUGAAGGGGUAUGUUCAGAAUCGUACUCGUCCCGAAGGUUGCAUUGCUGAGCGGUAUAUAGCUGAAGAAGCGGUAGAGUUUUGUACUCAGCAUUUAUCUGAUGUUAGUACAGUUGGAGUGCCUUCAAGCCAAAAGAUGGGACUUUCAAAGCCAUUAUCAGGUUGCACAGUGAGCGUAGUUGAUCAGGACCUGUUGAAUCAAGCACAUCUAUAUGUCUUGGAGAAUACGGAGGAAGUCCUACCUUAUAUCGAGUACGUAUGAGUUUUAUUCUUUAAGUUUCCAUUUUAAAUUAUUUCUUAUGUUUAUCUUCUAUAUUUGGGACCGUAAUGCUUGAAUUUUUCGUGUCAUGUAGGCAACAUAUGAUCCACAUCAAGACUGCUUAUCCAAAAUUUAGAAAGAGAACAAAGUGGCUGCAGGAUAAGCACAAUAGCACUUUCAUUCAAUGGCUACGCUUCAAGGUAUAUGUUGUUGAAUAACAUAUUUCUCUUUUAAUUUUCUUCUUAUUUCUAUGUUAGAUUAAGAUAUAUGAUUAAUUUGCAGGUUCAAAGUGAACUUGAGGAAGACAAUCAUGGCGUAUCAGAAAAUUUAAGGUGGCUAGCAGCUGGUCCAAACAUGGCAGUGCCAUUAUAUAGGAGCUAUCUUAUUAAAGGUAUUAAAUUCAAUAUCAAGGCACAAGAUGAUGUGCGGACAACUCAAAAUAGUGGAGUUUAUUUACUUGCACAUACCAUGCAAGUUGCUAGUGCCAAGGAUAAAAACCCAAUUCUCUCAAAUAUGGGUUUCUAUGGUGUCAUUCAAGAAAUUUGGGACCUUGACUACCAAAAGUUUACAAUCCCAGUCUUUAGGUGUGAUUGGAUAGAUAGUUCUGGUCUUGUAGUAGACGAACUUGGAUUUACCCUUGUAGAUUUGAGUAAAAUUGGACAUAGGAAUGACCAAUUUGUUUUGGCUUCUCAAGUCAAACAAAUAUUUUUUGUUGACGACCCGAUGCAUCAUGGUUGGUCGGUAGUGUUAUCAAUGCCUAAUAGAGAAUAUAAUGAUGUUAUUGGUGAUGAAGUCUUAGGUGAUGUGAUAAUUGAGUGUGAGCCAUUUACUAGAGGGAUGCCAAAUGUUGACACAUUUGAUGAACUGGUGGGUGAGUUAGGCGGUCAAAAUAUUCGAGAUGGGUGUGAAGAUAUAUGGAUUGAAUGAUGCUUAUGUAAUUGGCAGUGUAUGACAUUAAUUUUGUAAUAUAUUGUAAUGUGAUUUCUUCACUUUCUACGUUCAAAUAAAACACGACGUUAUUGUGAACCAGUUAUUCAGCAUAUUUACCGACGUCUUAAAGCAACGUAACAAUGAAGAACCAUGACGCUAUUGUGAAGCAAUUAUUCAGGAUAUCACGUCGGGGAAGGAUUAAGAACCGCCAUGUAAUUCAAAAUAACACUACUCCAAUCCCAUAAUACCGACGUCUAAAAAACGAGAUAUAUAAUCUGAACGUUAAAAAAUACGACGUCAUCAUACAUUUUCCACGUCGCAAGUUCUUUUAUAAACGAAGAGGAACGAAAUGAAUUCCGACGGUAAUUCAUUAUAACCGCCGUCUAAUAUCAAUUAAACGACGUUAUUUGUAAUACGGCUCUCAUCAUAAUCAACGCCGUCUAUAUGUUCUGUAAUACGGCUCUCAUUUAUUUGGAACCGACGUUGUUUAGAAGUUCAACGUCGUCUAUAUUAAUAAGUGCGUCGUGAGUAAUGAAUACAUAUAAAUACAACGUCGACAAUAUAAAUGCCACCGACAUUGUUUCGCAUUCAACGUCAACUAUAUAAAUACAUACGUCGUAAAUAAUGACACUGACAACUAUUUCCACGUCAUCUUUUUUAGAAAAAUCGAAGUGGAAAAUUUAUUUCACGACGGUUGUUUGUAAAUAAGAGACGUAGUAUAUUUCAAUAACGUCGUCUUCUCAUGUAUUUAAAGACGUCAUAUUUUUUCUUGUCGUGAAAAUUAUAUUUAACGGCGUAAUGUUUUAGUUAUCGUCGUUGUAUGUCUAUCUUGCGGCCUUGUUCUUUUAAUAUGUGUCAUAUUUUUCCUUUUUAACGACGGUGAUUUGUUUGAGUUGGUCGUCUAUUCUCAUCGUCGACUAUUUUUUAGAACUUUAGCAGACUAAACACGUCUGUUUUUAUUUGUUUUCGACGUUGGUUUAUUUAACAACGUCUAAUAUUUAUCGUCGUUGUUUGUUUCUGAAAAUAGGACGUAUAAAUUUUGUAAUACGACUCUCAUAUAUUUGUAACCGACGUUGUUUCCUUGUUCAACGUCUACUCUAUAAAUACAUACGUCGUAAAUAAUGACACUGACAACUAUUUCCACGUCAUCUUUUAUAGAAAAAUCGAAGUGAAAAAUUUAUUUUACGACGGCUGUUUUUAUAUAGGCGACGUAGUAGGUAUCAAUAACGUCGUCUUCUAAUGUAUUUAAAGACGUCAUAUUUUUUAUUGUCGUGAAAAUGAUAUUUAACGGCGUCUUUUUUUAAUUUUCGUCGUUGUCUGUCUAUAUUGCGGCCUUGUUCUGUUAAUAUGUGUCAUAUUUUUCCUUUUUAACGACGGUUUUUUUAGAGACUUGGUCGUCUAUUCUCAUCCUCGACUGCUUUUUUAGAUCUUUUUGCAGUACAAAGACGUCGUUUUGUAUUUGUUGAUGACGUUGUAUAUUGUAACAACGACGGUGAUUUAGCGUCGUGGUUUAUGAGGGAAAAGAUGACGGUGGAUUCCACGACCAUUGAAAAACCGAAUACACGACGGUGAUUUACCGUCGUCUUUUUGCUUUUUUGUAGUAGUGUAGGAGAGAAAUGUGAUUCUCUUCUAACAGAAUUACAGCUGUCAUCCUAUUAGAUUCUUACACCUGUCAUAGCAAAUCUAAGCUAGAGAAUCCACCUGGACUAUGAUCUAAUGGCUCUCCUUACAUCAUUUAAAUAAGCUGACCAAAAACAGAACAAAUAGAGAAUAGCUUCAGCUCUAAGAAAUCUGCUGCAGGAUUAUAUUUCAACACUAGCUUGUACCAAAUCACUUGGGUUUGUUUUCGUGCUCAUGCAACCCUUCCGCAAGAGAUUUCUCAUGAAAAUGAUCACACUCUAUCCUUGUGUAGAAAUAGGAUACCCUACCUAGCUAGCUCCUCUGGUUAACAGACAACAAAAGGGACCACCAUGUUCUUGAAAAAUGAAUUCAUUGCUCCUCUGGUUAAUUAACAGUACUGCAUAUGGUAUGCCCUACAACAAAAACUUGUUAACUUGUGUGAUAAACUAGUAGUCUAUUUCUUUUUCAUCUUUUUAUAAAUGCUGCUUCAAAAGACAAGAAUUUGUGGUGCUAUGAGAAUAUACAUGGACCCUCGGAUGCUCUAUGAUUUGGUUGGUUGGGAGCACCAAACCACCCUUGCAUGUGGCUUUGUCCUUUCAUCUAUGAUCUUCAGGCCCAACAAGCAAGGGAAGUCUUUCAUUUGUUUGAAGAAUUGAUACUUAUUGAGAAUGCAGUAGGUAAUGAGUACAUAUCUAAAAAGCAUAUGAUAUCAAGAGAGUGCUAAUCUGUAGCAAUUGUAAAAUGUAGGAUACAUACUUUUUACUUAAAGUUAAACAUAUGAAAAGAUGUUUUACUAAUCGAAUUAUUUGAUAUAGCAAAUGUAAAUUGAAAAAGAUGAAAACCAACAUUAAGUUCUCUUUGUAGGCGCUAGUAGAGUAAAACAUGCCAAUUCGUUGUAAGUGCAAGCCACAUCGCUUAUGCUUAUACUCAACAUGAAAUGAAUUGUUGACAUUACAAUUCGUGAAAUCUAUCUGUUGACUCUAGCGACGUCAGUAAUUUCAUCUAAAUUGUAGAAAUUUGUUAUAAAAACAAAGAAGAUUAUUGAACAACCUGAUUACCUAAAACCAAAUUAGAUUUUAGAAAAAUAUAGUAGAUACAUAAAACUUUAUUACCUAACAAAGAAAGAUGUCAAAUCUUUCAAAAACAUUUUCUUACAACCAAGGGAAAAAAUCCAAGAUUGAAUUGAUGAAAAUGACUUCGUUUGGACCACUCAAACCUUCUUUGCUAAUUACUCAGUUAGCUAGUUUGUUAAAGUAGAGAAGUUACCUAGUAUAUCUCCAACAAAAAUAGUCAUAUUGUAAAGCCUGUUAUGUAACUAAGGGAAUUGUGGAGAGAAUAUAGAGAAAACAAGUAGCAAUAGAAAGGCUCUUCAUCUGCUUGUAUUAAAGUUUACUUUGUAUCCAUUACAAUUGAGAAGGUAGCCUUGUUUAUAGGCCAAGCCUUGGCUAACAACCAGAGAAAGAAGGCUCAUGGAAGGUGUAAGCAAAUAACGUUCCAACUUGUGGGCUCCACUUGCAGACUUUUACAACACUCUCUCUUGGAUACCACAAUGUAUGGAAUCUGUCUCGUUAAAAACCUUGCCAAUAAAAUUUAGUGGGACAAAAAAUGGUCCAAAGGGAAAAAGAGCGCAUAAUCAUGUGUAACAUAAAAUUAUGUAUAUAUAACACUGACACGCGUGCGACACUGCCUCGUUAAAACCUUGCCAGGUAAAACUCAGUGGGACAAAAAAGAAAAAACUAGAUGAAGGAAAAAGAGUACAAUGUGUGAAAAUCUUAUUGAUGGCACGCUCCCCCUGAUGCUGACAAAAUAUCUUUAAGUCAUGAUGUUGACAAUCUUUCUGAAUGUCGUAGUUGAACACUGCUUCCAUGAAUCAAUCUUGUAAUACUGGUGGAUGCUACCCCUAAAGAAUUACUCCCCUUGAUGUCUUCUUUGAUGAUCCAACACAAAUGAUAUUGAUAUCACAUUUGUACUUCACAAACUGAUCUUUGGUAAUGCUUGUAGAAAACUUGUUGUUGUAACAUCUCUGGAGGAUCCCUGUGUGUCGUCAUUCAUCUAAUUCUUAUUGAGGUUAGAGUAAUACAGAAAAAUAUCUAGGCUAUUUUCAUAAGACUUUCACUGUACACAAUGGUUUGAAUUUCAUAUGUUUUCCAAUAUAAAAAACAAUAAGCUCAUAUUUAUAAUGAUAAGAGCAUUAAAUAUUUAUAUGGUGUUGUUUACCCUUUUUGUAUUUGAGUAUGUUGAAGCCUAAAUAAAAUUCCCCAUUAAUUUUUUAAACACUUAAUGGUUUCUUGAGUAACUUUCUUGCCACUAUUAGCAGAUAAUACCCUAACAGAUUUGAACAACUUUAUAUACUUGCACCCCAAGUAAUAGACUUUAAACAAACAAUUGUGAUUUUGGAUGGGGAAACCUCCCAAGAGAGUUCUUUUCUAUGCCUCAGACUUGUGACGACUUCACAAUUUAUUAAGACAAAAAUGGUAAGCAAAGCAAAAUACACAAAUUUAUGAAGGGUAUAACAGACUAAUCCAAGCAAAACUACUUGAAGCACAAAGUAACAAAUGAAUCUUUAAAUCUACGUACUUCUCAAAGGGGUUGGACUUUGACUUAUGUUUGAAAACAUAGUCGCAAUGAUGACUUGUGAUUAGACUGGACUGAACUUUUGUUGACUAGAUUGAAUGUUUCUGCACUGGAAUUUCAUGUCAGCACCUUCAACUAAUAGAGAUUAGCUAGAAAUCGAUACCAAGUUUGAAGUUUGGCAGAGCUAUAAACAAGUUAAACCUUGAAUAGGCUAUGGAAGUGAUCAAAACUGCAAACGAGUACCUAUUCUUGUUGAUUCUGAGUGAUUUUAAAGCUAUCUAGACAAUUUUAAGACAUUAAGAUGUAUUUGAAAAGCUUGUUGAGGAUUUUGUAUGAUGAAAUACCUGACUUCUUCUUGUUUUAUCUAAUUUGAUGAACCAAAUUUGUCAGAGGAAUUAAUCUCGUUUGAAUUCUGUUUGAUUUACCUUAUCUGGAUUACAAGGGCAAUCUUGGUUUCUUCUUGGUUUUCUGAACUUCUUUUUGAGCUGGAUUGCUUGUUAAGGAAGAUUGCUUGCUUGCUUUUGGUAGUUGUAAGAUCAUAUGAUCUUUGAUUUCUUUUUAUCAAUCUGGAGUUAUUGUUGAGUUUUUCCUUAAUUUGUUGGUUAUUUGUCCCUUCUCCUGUCCAGACACUUUUGUAUUUAUAGGAGAAAAAUGAUGUUGAAGAAAUCUGGAAUUUUUAGUUUUGGACUAUCCUCCAUUUAAUGCACAAGUGGCAAAAGUUUUGUUAGUUAAUGCAUUGAUCGUUUUUGGCACCUGCUCAUUAAUGUUCUUGAAUGUCUCCUGAUCGUUCCUUUUGGAACAACUAAGCUGAAGUGAGCAAUAAUGCCCAAAUUCCUCCAACGUUGGUGUAACACCCGGAUCCAAUUUUAACUUCUCAUUCAAAUUAUUUAAUUUAUUUAAUUGUGAAAUUACAAUUUUACCCUUAGGGCAGGGUUAUUUUGGUCAGUUUUUAAUCCGAUAGGAUUUUGGGGAAUUGAAUGGCACCAUUACUUAGAGUGCAUCGAUACGAGUUCAUAGACAUUCAGUGGGAUCAAAUAAGAGUUUUAACAAAGAAGUUACGAUCAACGGAAGUGCAAUGGCACCACCGUAAAUAUUUCAAAAUUUGAAAUUGAAACACUAGAUUCUCUCUCUCAAUCUCUCCCUCAUGAAUCUCUCUCUCCUCUGUUGGGAGCACCACAACCCCGUCGUCUUCUAACGAUGAUUCCGGGGUCAUCCUUCCUCUCCUGCUACGAAACUGGUUACAAUUUUUUUUCAUCUCUCUCUCCUCUUUACAUCCAUACCAAUUUCCAACCUCAAUUCCAAGGGAUUAAGCCAAAAAUUCGAACGAAAACCCAACUCAAACUGGCCUGUCAAAAACCAUGACUUCCGGCGUUUGUUCUGGCCAACUUCACCGAUCACCAAGUGGGUUCCAAAACACUCCCGUGCCUCCCCUCUGUAAUUUUCCUCGAAGACCCGACUUGAUUUCAAUCCGAAACCAUCGAAUUGAAACCUAGAAGGUGUUUCAACGAGAAAACCAACUGUUCGAGGGCUUUAGCGGCUGAAUUGAUCUUCGAGCAAAGGUAUAAAGUUACUCCCCUUGAUGUGUUUGAUCUUUUGAUAUGAUUAUUGGCCAGCGGUUUGGAGUUUUUCGAUCGCCAGAAAUUUUUUCAAGACACCCGUAGGCAGUGGUGGCUCGUCAGUGGGGUAUCAAGGUUGGGUUUUGAAGCUAGAAUGUUCCCCAUGUCGUCCCAAGCACGAUAGUAUGCUGAAAUUUGAAUUUGGUUGUUGUUUGACGGUCGAUCAAAUUUACAUAUAUUAGGCGUCUUCCGUGUUCGAUAUGUUCAGACCGUUGGAUCGACUCCAUUUCCAACUAUGCUGGUCUAGAUACCUCUCAGAUCAUGUAGGAACUACGAAUUGAGAAUCGGAGUCCCGGAUACUCCAAUUUAAUGGCUCAAAGUUUGGGUAAAACGGUGACCGCCCGAUCGUAUGAUUGUGAGCGAUCCGACCGCUCGAUCUGGACCAAACUUGUAGGACGUGUUUAGUAAGCUUUGUUGAACCCGUAGGGAACUUUUGGAUAGGAAAUUGGAGGUCAUGGGCCCAACAGGCCCAGCUGACCAAAUUUGGGAAGUUUGACCACUUGGUUGACCGAGCGUCUUUCGAGGUUAUUUCACAUUUCGGAACAUGUAGUUGGACCUUAGAAACUUCCUGUUUGUUGUAUACACACCUUGAAUUCCGGGAAAAAUUAGGAAUUUAUUUUAAAGUUUCCAUCCGAAUUAUUUUAAUUAAUCUAGUCCUCGUAUUUUUCAAUAGGCACUUCGGCUCAGCGUACUCAAUAGGGUUAAGCAGCUCUAGAUUAUCUGUGAGUGGACUUUGUUUUUAAAUAAUAAUCAUUAUUUUCAAAGAGAAAAAGCUAUGCAUAAUGAGUUAUUCGAUUAUUGAGUUUAACAUAUUAUUUAUUUAAAUGUUUGAAUUUGCAUAUUGUGAUUAUCUUGAAUUAAUAUAUGCUAUGUUUGAGAGUUACUAUCUGACAGGACCCGAUCCAAAUUCCGCUUUGGAAUUCGAGCCGGACCCUGUGCGUGUCCGACACCUGGCAAAUGUCGGGCACAAAUGACCUAUUUGCCCUUCUAUACAAAACAUGAUAAAAUAACAAGGUUGACGUCUACCGAAAAACCGGCAGAGUUUUCCUUGUAACUGGCUCAAUACCAACAUAUUUACACCUGCCAAACAAGUAUAUAUAUAUACAUCCAACUGCCAGCAUACAUUUAUAUACAGUCCAACCGUUCAAUUCUCAAUCUAGGGCAAAACAUCAGAGCAACUUCUAAGAAUUUACAAAGAAGUGAAUCUUUUUACAAAACAAAAAUCCUACAUCAAAGAAAAGGCGCGGAAGAUAGAAAACGGCCCGGUGGUGGAUCACUGUGCACGUCUUCUGCCUGGGGGAGCAAAACAUGGAAAAGGGUGAGUGGACCUAAAAAAAAAGUUUAGAAAAUAUGAACAUACUAACUCCACUGUAAAAACAGUUGUACAAACUAAAUUAUUCUCUUUAUUUCUGCAAUCAAUGCACGUAUAUAAUUAUACAUGUAAAUAAUCAUAUUCAUGGUCAACAUUACUUUUAAAAACAGUUUAAAACUACCACCUAGGUGUACCCUUUAUUUCCGUCAAUUCCUUAUAUCCGUCAAUUCCUUGCAUCACCAUAGGUGACACAUACUCGCAGGUCUCAGUGACACGAGGUCAGUCCGAGCCGCAACUCGCAGGAUUCAGGGGACCGUGGUCCACCUUUAUCCGCAUACUCGCUCCACACGAGUUCGAUUACCAAGGAACUUGUGGGGCAACUGUCAAGCAUGCUGACUAAACCGAAGGCAACCAAUAUAAUCCGAAGGCAACAUUUAAUAUCUGGGUACAAGGUGGUUUAACAAAAUAUAAAGUUUCGGAAGCAAAGCUGUUAAAUAAUUAACUUUCUGUAACCUUUCAAAUUCUGCUGCCAUUUAUCUGACAAGUAACUAGAAUUUCUUUUCUUAUAUCCGUUAAAAGGUAUUUCACUCGGCAGCAUGUAAAAUAAAACAGCUUAUAACUGAAACUGAACGGCUUAAAUUCAUUUAUUAAAAUAUAGAGUCCACUCACCGGUAGUCCGAGCUCGCUGGACCUCUUGAAGGUCCCUUCUAUGGGUCAACUGGUGCCCGGGUGCCUGAUUCAAUGACCAUAAUAUACUAUUAAUACAAUAUAGUGUUAAUAUAAAAACUCUUACCCCCAGCUCCUAAAAGUACAUGCGUACAAUUAAAGUUAUCUCUAUACCCAUAAAAGCUUUCCUUCCAGUUUAGCAGUAUCUUGGGACUCAAAAAGCGUUAAAGUCCCAAAAAAUCAACCCGAGACCCCACGGGUCCAUGACCUCACAAUAUAAUCCGGAAGCCGCAAGAAGGUCCAAUAUAUCUAGGACACAUGUCCAGAGGGUAUUGGUCUCGAUCGGACGGUCAGAUUGAUCACGAUCGUGCAAUCGCAUAUUUUCCAAACCCUAGCUCUAGGGUUCGCGAUUUUGGAGUCCCUAGGACUCCGAUUCACAAUCCGUCGAAUCCUACACGAUUCUGAAAUUGUCUAGAGUAACAUAUCUGAAACUGGUUACGAUCCAACGGCUCAACCAUAUUGAACCCGGAAAUCGCACAAUAUGGAAAAUCCGUUCGAGGCUCAAACGGUAUCCAAAUUGAGAUCCGUGAAUUCCUACGCGCUCGUGACAACCUAAGGAUCGCAUCAAGACACAGUACCACUGCACUACCCUCGCCCACACGCCGCCGCACGCGCCGGCAGCGCUGGGUGUCCAAAGCGAUUAUGCAUCGCCGGAAAAUCUCGAAACCACGGCUCCAAACUCCUACCCUAGGUAUAACACCAUAUUUGGAACCACUUUUGUUCUUGGACCUACCCCAAAAACUGACCGAAAGUGGCCGAACAGGGAGGCCGAAAAUCAGCCAAAUUCCAAUUUGAAAACUGAGCUAUCUACGGUCAAAAUCGAUGCAAACCUACCCAACCAUCAGCUAGAGCAUGGAAAAUAGGUAGAAAUCCAUACCUUACUCGACAAAUUUGGAGAAGAAUUGAGGGAGAACGAGCGGUUGCAAAACUGUGAAAAACCAGCUCGAGUUUUACAGUUUCCGGCGGCUGGCAGCGGGCUGGGCGGGGCUUGAAGACGGAACCGAGCUGGUCCUUUUGGCACCGACGGCAAGGGCAGGGGUGGUCGGUGGCGAGAGUUCUGGCGAUUGGAAAGUGACGGGAAGGAGGACAGCGGGAGAGGGAGAGAGAGAGAGAGAGAGAGAGAGAGAGAGAGGAAAACUGAGGGAGAAGAGAGAGAGUGAGGGUUUUAAAAAUCUGAUUUUUCCUAAUUACCAUUUUGCCCCUCGUGAUAUUUUAACCGUAUUUUCUUCGUUAAAACUCCGAUUCGAGUCCACUUCAUGUCUGCGAACUCAUUUCGUCGUGCUCUACACAACGGUGUAUGUGGAAUUGUCAAAUUCCUUUUCGGUCAAAAAGUCAACUUUUCGUUAAGAAAUUAUUCCAAGGGCAAAAUUGUCUUUCCUCAUAAUAAAUUACUAAUUAAAUAUGAAUUUUAGGUUUGGGUUAUUACACUAUACUUGGAUGCGUGUUGGGUACAUGGGAUUGGUAGAAAGAGAUUAUGGAAUGGGAUUUGAGUUGUGGUUUAUAUUAAUUUUGAAGUGCUUUAGGCACUACCCUAUGUACCUUCCUGGUUUUGGAAUACAUGGAUUGGAUACUUGGAAACUUUUGGGAUACUUUGAUAUGUCGGAACCCGACCACCCUUGACAGGGUGUUUCGUAGACCCUUAGCAGGAUUAGUCUGCAAGCGUAGGACUUGUCACAGGCGUACAAGUAUUGAAGAUUCUGUUGUACAUGUUGGUGAGCCAGUCCCCCGGUUGGACAACUCAUUCCCUAGCCACAUGGUCAAUUGAGGAUUCUUCUAUAUGGUCUAGCCAAACAAUCCCCCGGUUAGAUUAUUUCCUCAGUACAAGUUUGGUAGUGGUCAUACUUAUGUAUAUAUAAAAAAUUUAUAUAUAUACACACAUAUACUUUCGUUCUUGUUUAUCAAUGAGGAUUCUUUCUUGCUUGUGGUGCCAACGGGCACGCGUUUUGGGUGAGAGUAGUUUGGGGAAAAUGGGUAAGGUUUUGAGUGGGAUGGGUAUUACUAUACCAUUAUGAGAUAUGGAUUUCACUUUGGUUUUGAUUUAGCUAUAUAUAUAUAUAUCGGUUUUGAAUGCAUAUCCCUUUUAGAAUCGUUUUCCAAAUGGUGGGGUUAGUAUGUUGUUUUUAACUAUGUAAAAACUUUAUUUUUGUCCACUCACAAAUUUUCUGUUUUGCUCCCACAAGGCAGUAGUUGAGCUGAGUCGAGCGACUAAGCCGAGUCUUGUACUUCCGAGCCCCAAGUUUCUGUAGGACAAUGUUUACUUGUUUUUAAUUCUAUUGAACUCGUUUCAUUGUAAACUGAAUUUCUUUUGAUAUGCUUGGUUAUCGCCCAUGCUAGGGUUGGAUGUAAGGUCAGAGGCCUAUUAUGUAAAUUGCAUGAUUUUUCAUUGUGCAUGCUGUUGUUGGGAUUUUAUUACUUUGUUUUUUACAAGUUAAAAAUUUGGGAAAGUUUGUUUUUCAAGAGAGACUCUACCGAAAUUUUAACAAAAUGUCUAAUUCCUCUUUUCGUUAAUUUGGAAAAGAAGCUAUAAUGUUAGUAAGUGGACCCGGCAUCAGUUUCAUGUCCGAAAUACCACAGGAUUCGCCACGGAUUUCAAGGAAAUUCAGGGCGGGUCUUGUCAAUUGGUUCCAUAAAUACAAAUAUCCUGGUAGUAGAAAAUAAAUCCGGCGAUCUUACAAUAAAUAGUCGUGAUUUUUGUUUGUGCAAAUAAUCUCACGGGAGAAUAUUCUCUUCUAGAUUCUUCAACCUUCGAUCUUCCUUCUCCCUCUUCCUCGAUUCCUGUAAAAAAGACUAGAGUAAAUAGACCACACCCGGGGGGUGUUGGCCAAAGGCCCUCCGAUGCCUAAGUUCGUUCGAGUGUUUGUAGGAAAACAAUAGCUAAGCAAAGGGUACGGAGUUGUAUGUAGGGUGUAAACCGGGUGGCCGGAGCCAUGUGUGGUGGCCGGAGCUGUGUAGAGAAAAUAUGGAGAGUGGAGAGGGAGAGAGAGCUUCGGGUAUUUUUCUCGGGUAUAAGGAGUAGGUUUAGAUGUACCUUGAAUGAUGAAUGAGGUCGUCUAUUUAUAGGAGCCUUGGGGCUAAGGUUUCGUAGGGAUCGAGUCGGACCUGAUAAUAUCCGAAUUAAAUAUAUUAUCGCUUAAGAAGAUAAUAUCUAAAUUAAAUGAUAUUAUCUUCUCUUUAUUAGGAUAAUAUCUUAAUUAAUGAUAUUAUCUCUUUAAAUAAAGAUAAUAUCAUAUUAAUUAAGAUAUUUAUCCCAAUUAAUUAAUUAGCUAGAUAAACUGGUUUAAUUAAUUAAUUUAAGAGAUAAUCUUCUUUUCCACGUGGCGUGCCUUGAUUGGAGAUGAAAAUAUAUGCUCCCACAAUUUCCAACUAAAGUAAGUCUGACUUCACUUUCCAGCUUUCAUGGUCAUUAAAGUUAUUUGGAGCCGAGUUACCAACAGUGAGGAGUCAUUCUGACAUACCUUAACAUCUAAGAAAUUAUAAACUUUGGGCUAAACUAAUUCAAAUAAUUUUGACCCUUGGAUUAAAUCACCGUUGAUUAUCAAAAUAAUGUGAAUUUAUUUUAAUUUGAUCCCCCUUUGUUUGAAUAGUAUGGGCCAUUCACCACUUUUGGUAAAUAAAGCCCAAUACCUUUUUGAAAAGUGAACCCAAUGCUUAUUUCGGGAUGGUGCACAUAUUUCAGGCCCAAACAGUACCCCUAAGUCUGAAUAUCGUCUCUAAAAAACGAUUUCAUACUUAAUGAUUGGCCUGCCUUCUAUUGAUGUGCGCCCUUUUGAUCUAUUUGCUCCUGCCCACGUCUGUUCAUUGAUUGGACAUUUUGGAAAAGUGGGUAUUAACGAUUAGUUAAUUGGGAGACUUUGGAAAAGCCCAAAGGAGAGAGAAAAUUUUUAAAAGAAGCAAAAAUGGACAAAAUUGCCCUUAUUUAUUUUUUGAUUUCCUAAGAAAUCCUUUACAUUUGCAUGUCUGUGGUUUGAAAGUUGAGAGGUUAUUCCGUCUUUUUUGAAAAAGCUUUGGCUUUUUCCAAAAGUGAAAGUUUUUUUAUGGGUAAAACCUAAAUUUACUUAGUUAAUUCUUGGCAACUCUUCUUCUCCCACUAUCUGUCUUCUUUAGAGUAUAAAGCUGCAACCUACUUUACUCUUUUAAAACCAUCAUUAACCCCGAGUUCUUCAAUUUGUAGAGUAUUUCCAAUCUUUGAAAUUUCAAAUUUCAAUGAAAAAUUCAAGCAUUUCCCUAAUUCUGCCUGAAUAUUCUCGAUGGCUUCUCCCAAAACCCGUGCUAGUAGUUCUUCCUCCUUCCCUCCACCUUAUAUUUCAGGCGAAGGUGUUGAUACACAUGCCAUUGAGAUUCGAAGCAAACUCCGUUCAUAUUCCAAGAAGAAUUUGAAUGAAAAUAUCCUACAUUUGCACGGGAAUGCUAUCAUUAUGGGUUCUGCCUAGUUUGGGAAAGUUUUUGAGGAAAUGGCCAAACUUUUUAAGGCAGAUGCUGAAGCUCUGUUUUGCUAUUGUAAUCCUUCUCUAAUAUUCCAUUCCUCGGUUAGCAAGAAUCUAAGCAGAUCAUACCAUUCUAAUGAAGUGAGGAAUAGCUCUAUGAAGUGGUCAUAAUAGUUUGGCCGACUCUCUCCAAGGUAUGAAGGCCAUUGGAAGAAAGCUAGCAUAUAUGAUGCUUUGCUUCUGUCUAAGCAUUCAAUUAAUAGAUAUGAGAAUCUCUUUGCUGCUUCUUUAUGUUUUUGGAAUUCUGCUACAAACACUUUUGACUUUCGUGUUAGCCCUAUGCCUCCAACUCUGCUCGAUAUGGCUCAAAUAUUUGGAUUUAGGCCACAUGAAAGGCCUGCUGAUGCAUUUGGAGAUUAUCACAGAAGGAAAAAUGGUGAAAGAGUAGCUAAAACGAAGCCUUGCCAUUCUUGCCAACGGAAUACCACUUUCCAACAAUUAUUGAGGCCAAUGGCCUUUAAUCUCCUGUUAAUUUAAUCGGAGUCUCCUCCAUGCUUCUCUGAUUUCUCUUUUUCAAAAUGUCGAUCAUUAUCCAAUAGAGCUAUCUGUUUGCCCCUGAAAGUGGAUUUUUCAAGCAAAAAUUGUGCCAUUGCCUAAACGUGUGGCAACUCAAUCCUGUUAAAAACACUGGAUUUUGGUAUGUCCUGUAAUUGUGCUUGCAUAAUCCUGCUGAUGAUACUUGAUUCUUGCCCCUACUAUACUGGAUGGAUUUAUUUAGAUGGAUUGGAUAGCCUUGUUAAGGCACUAUCCUUCUUCUAUGGUUUAAUAUCUGCAUUUUUAUGGUUAUCUCUGGCUCAUUCACACCUUAUAUUUACAAUAAACAACAAUUCCAGACAUAACAGUUGCCUUUGAUCUAAUCAAAGUUUCCUUGAUAACCCUCCUAUUUUGACAGGGACCUAUCUCCACAGUUGCCUUUGACUGAGAGCGUUUUUGCAUAUCCAUGAGUUAAAAACGAAGAGCAAAUUUACUGGCCAUACUGGAUUGUGAGAAGUGGCUUUGGAGACACUCUUAGAGAGGUGCAGCCGACAGUGAGAGAGAGAAUGGACUCAAAGAGUAUACUGGUGAUGUAGCUGACAAUGAGUUGGUCUUGUUGGUACCACUGAGCACGGGCAGGAUUGGUUUGGGUAAGAGAGAUGGUGGUGAUUGUGGGUGUUACGGUGGUAGAAGUGGAGGUUUGAGCAGAAGGUUGUUUAUGAGUGCCUUCGAUAAAUUUUCAGAGGUCAUGACCGACUCAAAAGAGUUUGAGUUGGCAGAGCCAAAGGAGGUAGUUGGAGUCAGUAAGCUUGAUAAAAUAAGAACAGUUGGGGUUAGGGAAGGAGAUGGUGGAUUCAGACGAAGCCAUGAGGUGGACCUAAAGGAAACGAUUGGAUCGAAUAAGGGAGAGGGAGGAAACCCUAGGUAAGGCUGAUAUCAUGUAGAGAAUAUAUUUUCUUGUAUUAAACAGAAUACACAAAGUCCCUAUUUAUACUGAUACAGGAAAUCAACUUAGGAUAGGAAAUAAUAUAGACAUGAAUACAAUCCCAUUUACAGCAGGAAAAGCUAAUUGCUAGGAGGAGAUUGUGAAGUUGACUUCCGUGUGUACUAGGAAAGGAAAGCUGCGUUAACAUCUUUCUUUGGCCAAUUUAGAUUUACCAUAUUGACUUGAGUUUUGGGAAAAGGGAUUGUAUCAAUAGUGGGGACCUUCUUUGCUAUUUUCAACUUUCUUGAGGCUAAUGCUUCUUAGACAACAUCCCUUAAAACAACACAGCUAUUGGUAGUGUGAUUCAAAGAAUAUUAUGCCACUUGCAAUACUGUCUUCCCUUCAAUUCUUCUGACUUUGGCAACCUGUGUCUAGGUGGUGUAUCUAUAGCCUUCUGAGAUAACAUUUCAUCAAACAAACCGUCUAACUUUGAUAAAUCAAAAGAAUAAACCUUGUUUGUUGGCUGUUUAUUUGGAAUGAAACCUCCAGUGAAGGGUGGUGGUUUUUGAUCCUUUGGUGCCUUUAGCAAAACUUUACAACUUAUUGUCCCUUUAUUUUAGCCAUUUUUGCCACCACUGCCAUAGUUUCCUCUGGUUCUAGCUCCUUUUCUUAUUCUACCUGCACCAAAUGUAUUGAAGAUGAAGGGGUCUUGUAGUAUGUACAUUUAGAAGCAUUCCUCUUCUGUUGUUAUUCCUUCAAUAAUUCUUCAUAUUUGGUGACCUUAUCCGCCAGUUCUGCUAAGUCUCCAAAUAUUAUUCCAUUGAACCUUUUUCUCAAGGAGAUCCUCAAUGAUGUCUGUCCCAUCUGGAUAAAGUGCCUCUCAUAUAUAGGAAUUCUAAACUUCAUUUUCAGCUUUCUGAACCUAGUAAUAAAGUCAUGAGCUGCCUCAUUCUCACUCAGCUUCAGUACAGUCCUCAGGCUAGAUUCUGUACUAGUAAUCAUGGAAAGCAGUGCUUAGCCUUUUUGCAUAAUACAGUGGAUUAGGAUAAGAAAAAUAGGAUUCCUAUGGAAGAACUUCUUUUGGGGGGGGGGGGGGGGGGGGGGGGGGUUUUCCCUUUGGGUUUCCAAAAAAUUAAAAAAAAUUUUUUUAAGGGCCCCCCUUCUUAGAAAUUUUUGGGAAUUUUUUACUCCGUUAAAAAUUGAGAAACCUUCCAGCAACCUUCUUUUUUUUUUUUNNNNNNNNNNNNNNNNNNNNNNNNNNNNNNNNNNNNNNNNNNNNNNNNNNNNNNNNNNNNNNNNNNNNNNNNNNNNNNNNNNNNNNNNNNNNNNNNNNNNAAAGAAACUUGAAUUUUUCAAUCCAUCUGUUUUUGUUAUCCAAAGCAAAAACAAAAAGUACUUGUUUGCUCUUCCCUUUUCCAUUUACUUGUUGUGUAUUUUCAGACUCCAUUUGAGUGCAGCUAUGAAUUUUAUCAUGUCAAUCAUAAAAUACAGCAUAAAAAAUAUCAAAAAAUGUACAUCAUCAACCAUAGAUUAAACAUGACACAUCUUAUGUUGAAUGGAAAAGGACGCAGUAGGAAUUUACAGAUUUGGCAUCCGAACUCUGAUUGGCGUGUAUGAUACCUUUCUGAAAAGGAAACAAUGCUACGAGUCAAACACACUGCUUUGCUAUGACGUAUGGUGGAUUUUGGGCUUUUGAGGUCGUUUAGGCUUCCAAAACAGCAUUUAAAAGUUGAAAUUUUUGGAUUUUCGUUUUUUUAAUGUUCAUUUAUAUUUGUCUCAGUAUUUUUGUUCGAUUAUAGAAAGGUUGUCAAUUAUUUCAAUUUUCUAUCUAGUCGUAUAUAGAUAUUUCAAAAGAAAAAGUAGUAACAAGCAUAAACCCUAGUAAACAAGCAUAAACCCUAGUAACAAGUAUAAGCCUAAUAACAAGAAAAACACGAUGAAGAAAAAAUCAUGGAAAAAGAAAACCCAACAAGGUAUGGAUCAAAGAAAAAAUAGGGAGCAUACCUUCACAGAUGAAGGAAUGAAGAUGUUCAUCUUCGCAGAUAGAAAAGCUAGGGCAAGAGAAAAACGUAUGAUGAAAUACUUGGGAGGGAGGUUGGAUUAUUUUGGUCUUUGUUAUUUAUAACUCUCCCCUUAAAACCUUCCAAAUAUAUCACCUUUCGAAUACACCUAGAUUUGAUUCAACUUUUUUAUAAUCCUAAUUGAAUACACCCAUAUUUGAAUAGACAUUUUAAAAGUUCAUAUAAGUCCGAAUUGAAUACACCCAGACUUGUAAAACCUCUUUUAAAAUUUUGUAUAAAUCCAAAUUGAAUACACUCGGAUUUUUAAAAUCUUUUUAAACGCUUUAUAAUCCUAAUUGAAAACACUCUAUUGGGAUUGUCAUUGCAGCUGCCAUUGGAUUCUAUCAAGCCUAAAUACAUGAUUAAAUAAACUUACAAAAUUUAGAGAAUCUUUCUAUCUUUGCGUGUCUAUUGAGACCGGUUAAGUGUGAACUACUAGGGACUGAAACAUAUUUGUACUUUUUAUCCUCUAAUUGAUCUUUUCCAUGUUUAAUGUUCUCACUUAGAAUUGAAUUUAGAUGGAUAACCUUUAUUUGGAUAAUAUCCAACCCAUACAAGUGAGACAUUUAGUAUAAAAGUUCCAAUAUUUGAAAUUUCCAAGCAAUCUUGUCCAAUUACUUCUGAUAUAAGCCGUCUUUAACAUUAUAUUGGGCAGAAAAUCAGAAUAUUUGGCCAUCUUCAACUUUGUGAGAUGUUCAAAUUUGGUCUACUUCCAGAUUCUAUUUUUGUAUGAAGCAACAAGCUACAAUUAGAUAAUAACUUACUGAAAAAUGAGACAAUAAAGUGGAUGAGGAAUCAAAAUAUAUCAUUACAUUUUCUCAUGUUUCCUGCAGAAUAAAACAUUUAGAAUUGUACAUGGCUUAAAAGACAAAUCUUCUUGUCAUCCAGUUCAAAAUUGGAGUUAUGAUUUUGGGCUCAAUAGUCUUCGAAUCGAGAGUUCAUGAUAUCGUCAUUCGACUGCUUCACAAAUUUUGUAUCUUCGUGCUCAGCUCACAAGCACUUUGACCAUCAAAGAAGGCUUCCCAGAUUCAUAAGCAACAGAAAAAUGUGCAUAUGAUCAAUCACAGCCUCUACUUCAUCUUGACACGGCGAGUUCUUCUGAUCGAACUGAGGCUGAUUUGGAUAUGAACCAGAUUCACUUCAUUUGCGUUCAUUCAUACACUUAAGCUGCAAGUGAGAUGAAUGAAGGUUUCAUCACUGCAGGGGAUUGUGAUACCACCCAUUGGAUGAUCAUAUCCAAAUUCUUCUUCUGCUUGACUUAGCAAAUCCAAGAACAAAGGCUCAUUCAAGUAUGAUAUUGGAACCACAAAUCGCUUCUUCUGGCUCCCCCCAACAUACACUGCAAAGUAGCCUUUUGGGAUGUCUACGGUGUUUGAAGUAGCAGCCUUGUUUAGACCCUUCUUGGAGUUAACAAUUCCUGGCAAUCGGAAUCCCAUGGUUUUUAUAUUCUCAAGUGGAAAAUUUGAACAAGAAAGAAUUCAGAGGACUUGGGAAACAGAGAAGACUUUGAUGCUUGGCAAGGAGAGAGACUUGAGUUGUUGGUUAUGAACCUGAUCUCUUGUGUAUAUAUAGAUGAAAGAGUAUCGCCUUCUACAUGAAAUGAGUGGUCUCGAGGCGCAGAGAUUUGCCCCAGUGAAGGAUAAUAGCUUGUGAGAAAUCAAAACAUAACAUGGGUUGUCUUCCCACUCACAUAAAUCAUCUCCACAUGCAAUGACAAAACUGUAUCCCUCUGUACAAACAUCAUUCCCCACGUCUUAUUUCAUCGAGUAAUUUGUUGUGGUCUAAAGAUUGCUAAUGUGUUCCUGUCAAGAGACUAUGGACAGAUAUGUCUUAACCCUGUUUUGUACUUCAAAGAAGUCUUUUCUAUCCACAUAUAAAGAGUUUGUAGGUGUCACAAAAAAAAUUGUUGGGCAUCAUGUUCUCCAACAAACGUACAGACGUAAUAACUACCAAGUUCUUGAGAAUGAGAUGGAAAACAGACCAUGUGAUCCCUCAAAUUCUCAUGCCUCUUUCCAAUCCCCACCCAAUUGUCCCCAUUUCAGAUAUUUUCCUCUACACACCCUUUCAUCUAUACGUAGACACACACAUACACACAGAUGAUCCCAUAAACAAUUGAAAUCCUGAGUCUUUACAAACAUGAAAUCUAAUGAGACGUGAUCCUAAAAUGAUUUAGUUUCCUGUUUUAUUUGUAUUUAUUUCAUAGAUUUGCUGUAUAUAUUCCUUAUCUCUCAAGGACUUGAUUCUUGCCUAGAAUAGGAAAUCCUUUGUGUAGACACCAAGCAAAGCAUUGUAUAUAAUUAUCACAUGAUUGUUCAAUGAAAAUCAUCGAGAAUAUUCAAAACCUUUCAUGGUAUCAAGAGCCUGAGACUCACAGUCCUCGAUCCUCAAUUUUCUUGUUCCCUGUCUUUUUUUUUUUUUUGUUGGCACCAUGGCUUCUUCCUCGUCUAUUGAUUUUCCUAGCGUUCAUCAUGUUAUCUCCAUUCGUCUCAAGUGUGAUAAUUAUCUGACGUGGCUUGCUCAAAUUGUUCCUAUCCUUCGCAUCUGCCGCUUGCUCAGCUUUGUUGACGGCACUUCUCUGUGUCCUCCGACCAUUCCUGACCCAAAUGCUAAGGCCGAUGAAUCUACUUUUCUGUCUCUCCUCCCCAACCCAGAGUAUGAUGAUUGGGUCCAGAAAUAUCAGCUUGUUUUCUCUCUCUCAUCAACGGUUCCUUUCACCAUGAAGUUCUCACCACCGUAGCUUCCAAGACCAUCGCUGUGACACUUGGGUAGCCCUUGAAACUCAUUUUGCUUCUCCGAAUCAGAAUCGUCUUCUUCAACUUCACAGUAACUUGCUUUGCACAACCUGUUGUGAAUCUUCCAUCACUGAUUUCCUUGAUCGUAUUAACUCGAUUGACGAUAACUUGGCUCUGGCAGGUGCUUUAGUUGCUGACUCUGAUCUCCUUGUGAUGGUUAUGAACAACGUUUGUCCUCUUUAUGAAAAUACCAUUGCCGCUACUCAAGCUCGUGAGAAACCCAUCAAUAUGCCUGAUCUUGAUGCUCUCCUCUUGUCUGCUGAACGUGGCCUGUAGUUAUCUUAUUCUCUGGUCAUGUAUUCUGGUGCGACAGCUAUGGAAGCUUCCCAUGGUGGUCUCGGUGGCUGUGAUUUUGGCGAUUGUGCUGGGUUUGCUGGUCAUAGUCCCGAUCUUCCCAACUCAUUCUCUCCCUCACGACUAGGUUUUACUUCUGGUCGCGGUUUCCCUGGCGCUUCCUAUGGCGCCUCUAGUCCUGCCUCACAUCAACAACAUUUUGGUAGCAAUAUCGAGCUGAGUGUUCUUGGCCCACCUCCUUCUGGCUCUACUGCUUCCUCUUUUGGGCUUCAUUCUGCCCCUAGGCCUCUUCAAUGUUUCAAUUGUCAUGGUUUUGGCCACAUCGCAGCUGUCUGUCCUUCCAAGACGUUUUCUGUGCCUUCUCCUCUGUCUCGUCUUCAAGACAUAACUGCUCAAUAUCCUUCACAUGGUGGCCAUCAACAGUGGGUUGAUGAUACCGAUGCAAACACUCAUAUUACCAAUGACCUGAGCUUCUUAUCCCUUGCUAAACAGUAUCAUGGUUCUGACAAUGUUGGAGGUGUGCUUGGUGGAACAGGUUCGCCUAUUAAAAAUAUUGGUCACUCUCGUUUCUCUCACCUUAAUUCUUCUUUUCAUCUUAAUGAUAUUGUUCAUUGUCUCGAUGCAUCUCUUCCUCUCUUACCUAUUCAUAAAUUUCCCACUAACAACCAUUGUUUCUUCACUUUUUUUCCUAAUUGUUAUUUUAUCCAGGAUUUGGGGACGAGGAGGACACUUUCUUGGGCAAGAGUAGUAAUGGCCUAUAUCCCUUUUCAUUUACACCGAAUGAGUUUUUUCAAGUUUUGCGUGAUCGUGUUGCUUUACUAGGUGUCUAUGUUGACCGCUCUGUGUGGCACUCUCGCCUUGGUCAUCCUGCUUCGUCUACUUUGCAAUUUUUGUUAUCUCAUAAUAAAUUGCCAUCUUCUGGCUCUGUCUAGUUCUUUUUGUCAGUCAUGUACGUUGGGUAAAAGUGUUAAAUUACCCUUUAGUCCUUUUUAUGUCCUUUCUUCUCCACUGAAACUUAUUCACUCUGAUGUAUGGAGUUCUUCAAAUAAAUCUAUUUCUUAUUUUAAUUAUUAUGUUUUAUAUGUUGAUGAUUUUUGUCGUUAUUCUUGAAUUUUUCCAAUGAAAUUGAAAUCAUAAGUUUUCUCUCACUUCAUUAAAUUUAAGGCUUUGGUUGAAAAUAUGUUUUUCACUACGAUUAAGGCAUUUCAAUCAGAUGGGGGUGGGGAAUACACUAGUCAUCAAUUUAAGAAUUUUUUAUCUCAUCAUGGCAUUCAUCAUCGUCUUUCUUGUCCACAUCAUCCUGAGUAAAAUGGUUUAGCCGAACGUAAGCAUCGUCACAUUGUUGACACCGGGCUCACUCUUUUAGCCAAUGCCUUUAUGCCUCCUUCCUAUUGGGCUGAGGCCAAGCACACCACUGUUUAUUUAAUUUACCGUCUUUCUUCUAAGUUGCUUCAGUAUAAAUCACCCUAUGAAUUAUUGUUUCACAAAGAACAUAAUUAUUCGUUUUUAAAACCUUUUGGGUGUGCAUGUUUUCCUUAUUUACGGCCAUAUAAUAAUAAUAAAUUACAAUUUCGGUCUUCCAAAUGUGUGUUACUUGGUUAUUCUUUGAACCCUCAAGGUUAUCGAUGCUUGGAUCUUGUUUCUAAUCAUGUUUUUUUAUCGCGUCAUGUGUUAUUUGAUGAAGUUUCUUUUCUGUUUAACAAGGCACAUGCUGCUACUACUCCAGACCAUUCUCCGUCAUCAGACCUGCCUGUCAUCCUCUCUGGCCCAAGUUUAUCUUCAUGCAGCCCAUGCCUUCCAGUGUCGUAUUCUCUGCCUAGUCUCCCUUCUUUGGUGCCAAAAUUAGGAAGCGGAGAGUGAGAACUCACACACACGGGUACCAUGGGAGCUUGAACCCAAGACCUCUUGAGAGCACACCAAAAGCCUAGGAAAAUCCACCUAACACCCCAUUAGUCGACAGUAAAUAGUUCAAUUGCAUAAAAAGAAAACAAGAAGACUUAAUGGAUAUGAAAAAUAGUUUUUCCAACAUAUUUCUUCCCUCGUAUAAGUACAUUAAAAAUUGAACAAAUGAGAUUCCAAAUUGGUUGUCGUCAUCUUUUAGAUCCUUUUUCUAUCUCUUCAACCGUUGGGAGGGUUUUUUUAUUUAAAUUAUUUUUUUGUCAAAAAUGAUUGCUAAUUAAUUACAGUUUUACUUUUUCUUUUUUGCUUUUGUAAUGAAUAAAGAGUACAAAUGAAACAUCGUCAAAAUUGCUUGACAAAGUGGGCUGUCGUUUAAAAAAAAUGUAGAUUACAAGUUUAAUGGACAAGCAAUUUGUGAUCUAUAAAGAUGUUGCUUCCUAUUGCUUUCACCAUUAUUUCCACCAAAGUAAAAUUUAUAGCUGAAAGUUAGAUCAGUUUCGUACACAUAGUAGAUCCAAAAUGUUACUACCAAAAAGGCUUCAGUUUUAACUUGCUACACUUUGCCUACCACUGGAAAUAUCCAAUUCGGAGUGCAUGAGGGUAAAAUUGAGUGUCAUUAUUGGUAGUGAAAUACUUUGUGAUUAGGAAAUAUAUCUUGACAAUUUGAUUAUAACAAAUGAAUAGAAAAAAAAUUAGAAAUACCUGCAUAUAUAGUUAUGGAACAGUUAGAGAUUGAAAUUUCAACCGGCCAGCAAGAAAGGAAAAGGGAGAGAAUCCCAAAAACAAUAGAAAUGUGUGGCAUGGGAGGAGCCCCUAUUAUGUCACCUCCUUAGUUUUCAAUUAAGAAAACGUAGUGAAAAUAUGAGAAUCCUUCCCAGCCACACAUCUCCAUUGGCCUCUGGGAGGCCUAUCUCCCAUUUCAAGUCAGCCAAUUCUAAGAGUGUAUUAUGCUCUCAAGAUUUAGAGCCCAUUAUUUAUAGGGAAGCCAAGGGUACAUAAGUUCAAAAAAUAACCUAUAGUGCCCAUGGUUUCCAUAUGGUGAGGAAUCUAUGCGCCAUCGUAGUUGUUUCACCACAUGUUUUGACAAUUUUCGUGAGGAAGCGAAAAGGAAAAUUGGGUUGGUAUUCUUGCAUGCUUCCCACACGUCGUAAAAUAAAUUCUUGAUAUACCUAUUAAACCAUUUCUUUUAUCAGUUCACGUGAUGAACACGAUGAGAGAGAUAAAGAGAAACCGGCCGGUUACAUCUGACACCUAUGAACAGAAAAGAAUCCAAAACCGUGAUAGGUUGGUGAAGGGAAGUGAUGUUUUUGGUUUUCCAAAAUUGGAUUUUGGAUUUUGGGGAUAUUAGUACCAGUUUUUGAGCCACUAAAUAAUUCGAUUGCAUAAUCAAACUUAAAACAAAAGUUACAGGUAUGUUAGAUAUGAAAUAUAAUUCAAUUGCCUUCUACUUGAUUAUGAUCUUCCUCGCUGGACUAUGAAUGCUAUUGGGCUUCUAAUUUGUUGCUCCAAAAACCCAUUUACCGCAACGGGCCAUUCAUCGGGCCUCCAUAAAUUCAGGUCCAAUCAACAUUUAUAUGGAGAUGAAUGCUAGAUUGGAAAAUCCAUGAAAUCUGCAGUAUGUGGUGGUGUAGAGGCUAUAUGCUGUGGUGGGGAUGAAUGGGGAGACAUAUGCAUAUGAAGGAUCACAUGGUUCUGUCUUCCACAUCAUCAAGAAUUUGGCAAUGAUUGAGACUUCAUAUCUGUUGGAUUGUGUUUUAGUUUUAAAUCUGAAGUCCUUGCUAGGACAGGAAGCUAGACAAGUUGCUGACUCUAAUAUAUCUUUAUAACGGUAUGUAAAUAUUUUUGUAGUUUGUCAAAAAUAAAAAAAUCUUGUCAUGCACCUAUCAAUAAUACAUUGAGGUUUUUUUUCCCUCAGAUAAUUUGUUUUUCUAAGGGUUUUCAAAAAUCUAGUUUAUGCAAGCUGGAAUUAUGCAAAUAGACUUUGGCAAGAGAAAAUUAAUGUCAUAGCAUAUUGUCAUGAAACAAAUAUUUGUGUCAGGAGUUGAUUUGCAAGAAUGUGUUUCAUCAAAAUUUGAUAACUUAGGAUCAAUCAAGCAUUAAAAAUGCCACUGAAAUGGGCAUGAUAUUUCCCCAAUCUGUAUGAGGAACCAUGUAAAAAGUUAUAUGGUCAGCAUUUUAGUCAAAUUCUUGUGCAAAUCUGCUACCACUUGUGGGAUUAACUAUAUAACAAGGGCUACAAGAAGAUAAUACUAUAAUGCAAACCAUAAGACAAGAAAGGAUGAGGAUUUCAAAUAGAUUGUAUAUUGCUCCUGGAGAACAACAAAGAAGUUUACAUAGGUUCAAAAGACAGAAUUUGACUGCCUUUGGGUGGGGGAUGAUAUUUGGACCAAUGGUUCUAGGGAGUUCAUAAUAUCAUCACUUGUCUGCUUCAUAAAAGCUCAGCCUAGAAGCAGCUUCAGCAUUUGAGAAGGUUUGCUUUCACCAUAAGAUGUGAGUUGAUUCCAUGGAUGAGCAGUGGUAGCCUCUUCUUCAUCCCAACUCAGCGAGUUCUGAAAUGUGGAUGCUUUGGAUAUGAUCAUAUCCAAAUUCUUUCAUCUUGGCUCAGUGAGCUCUGAAAUGAGGAUGGUUUGGAUAGAUUGGAUGACCGAUUCGUGUACACUCACACACUUAAGCGGGAAGUGAGAUCAAGGAAGGUGUUUUCACUGCAGGGGAUUGUGAUACCUCCCAUGGGAUGAUCAUAUCCGAAUUCUUCUUCAGCUUGACUCAGCAAAUCCAGGAAUAAAGGCUCAUUCAAAUAUGAUAUCGGAAUCACAAACCGCUUCUUCUGGCUCUCCCCAACAUAGACUGCAAAGUUGCCUUUUGGGAUAUCUAAAGUCUUUGAAUCUGCUGUCUGGCUUGAACUAGAUAGAGAUCGAAUGAGACUUCUCUUUGCGUUAACAAUUGCAGGCAACCGGAAACCCAUGAUCUUAUAUAUUCUCAAAGGACAAAAGAAGAGAGGGAAUUCAAAGGACUUGGAUUUGGAAAGCAGAGAAAGCUUUGGUGCUUGAGAAGGUGAAGACUUGAGUUGCUCAUGAUGAACUUG